ACCAAACACACUUUUUUUUAUUUCUUUUAUAUAUCUUACAAUAGUAAAUUAUUUCAAAAAAAAAUUAUUCAUUCCUUUAAAUAUUACUUUAUUACUAAACACAUCCUAGCAACUUAAGAUCGCAAACAAAAUUAAUUGUUUCAUGUCAUUUAAUAUUGUACCCGAGCAGUAUGCUCAGCCAUUCUCUGGCAGCCUAAAAUUUUAAAAAUAGACAAUUAUCUCAUAUCAUUAAAACGGAUGUUAAAAUAAAAUUAUUAUUUUACAAUAUUCAACAAACAGAAAAUGAUAGAGCAGAGCAAGUCAAAGGGUUAAGAUGGUAUAUAAGUGGGGUUACCGCUGGGGGUGACAAUCCAGCUCGCCGUUCUCGAGCCAAUUUGUGCUCGUCUCGAAAUCGAAUCGCUCGUUUAUUAAAUAAGCCGAAUAAAACCUGAAUUUUUCAGCUCGUUUAAUAAACGGACCGAACACGAGCUGGAAUCAGAUUGUUCGUAUUCGGCUCGAUAACAGCUCGAAUACAUAUAUUUUAUAUAAUAUAAUAUAUUUAAUUUAUAUUUAUAUAAAAAUAAAUAUUUAUAUAUGUAACAUAUAUUUUUAUUAUUUAAUUUUUAGCAAACAUUAGAUCAAAGUUUAAUAGAUAAAAUUACAAAAAGACUGAUUUAUAUGUAAAAUUUCAAACAUUAGAUCAAAGUUUAAUAGAUAAAAUUUUAUAAAUUUAUUUUUUAUAUAUAUUCAAUCUAAUAUUUUUAACUUAUUGUUCGUUGGCCAACUCGUGAGGUAGUUCGUGUUCGGCUCGUUUAAGCCGAAUUUUUCGGCUGGAUAUUUUAACGAGUCAGCUCGUGUUCGGCUCAUUUAUUAAAUGAGUCGAACACACGUCAGCCCCGGCUUGCUCGUGUUCGGCUCGUUGACACCCUUAGGUAUGCCAGGGCGAUGUAAGAAUUCAAUCAUAAGAAUAGCUAAGGACAGCUAUAAAUCUUGAUCAAUAUAAGUUUCAAUUAAUUUGUUUAGUCAUAAAUUCAAACAUAAACAAUACAGAUAUACUUUUUGAAAAGGAAAACAACAAUUUAAAUGUCAAAAUCAAGUAUUUCAAGCAUCUUGAAAAUAUAAUAAUGAAUUAAACAUAUAUAACUUUCUUGGACUAUAAACUAUUUUGAAUCAGCUAUUCAACAUUUCAAAAUUUUAUUUUUACCAUCUAAUCUUUCAAUAUAUUAAAUUUAAGUCGGUUAAUAAUAUUUUGACUUUAAAAUUUGAUUGUAUUAUUUAUUUUUACAAAUUUAGGUAGCAUAUUUCAUACAAUUUUCGUAAUUAAAUUUAUUAAAAUAAGUAAUUAGUUUAAACUCAAUCAAUCUUUAUUUUAUUUUUUACUAUAUAAUUUAUAUUUAAGUAUUAAUAUUUUAAAAUUAAAAUUUAUAUUAAUAAGAAGAGAGAAGCAUCAAAUUAGAUUAAAAAAAAUUUAAUUCUCUAUCAAAAUUAUAAGAAAGAGAGAAAAAAAAAAGAAAAAAAAAAGAGUGGGCACCGAUAUUCUACUUCCGCCCUAAUCCUCACCCCACCUCACGUAAAGAAUGCCACGUGUAUCUUUAACUCACAAUUCAUUAUGUUAUAGAGAUAGAUAUAUACUUACAGAUAUACUUUUAAGCCCCGUUUGGUUGGGAGAAUAAGCGGGGAUAAAGAAAGUUGUCCCCGCUAUUUCGCCAAACGGAAUGAAAAUUCGCCGAGAUAUUUUAUUCCGGUCAAACAUUGCUAUUCCCGGUUAUCCCGGAAUAGCAAGAAAUUUAUUAUUCCACCAUUUUGGUGGAAUAGCACUAUUCCAAUGCUUAAUUUCAAACUUAAUUAAAAUUAUAAAUUGAAUUAAAACUAAAGUAUAUAAAUAUAAUAUAUUAUAUAUUAUAAUACAUUAUUUUUAUUAUAAAAUUAUUAAUUAUACUAUAUUAAUACAUAUUAUUUAUAUUUAAAUAUUAUAAUAAAAUUUAUAAUAAAUUAUAUUUAAGUAUUAUAAUAAAUUCUUUUUAUUAAAUUUANAAAUCUAAAAUUAAAAAUCUAAAAUAUCAAAAUUUAAAAUUUUAAAAUUUAAAAUAUUAAUUUAAAAUUUAAAAUUAUAAAAUUAUAAAAUUUUAAUUUUAAGAUUACAAAUUAUAAAUUUUUAAAAUUUAUAAUUAAAAAUUUAAAUUUAAAUUUUUAAAAAAGUUAAAUUUAAAUUUUUAAAAAAGUUAAAUAGGGGUGAGUUUUAAAAAAAUUAAAUAAGGGUGCCCACCCUUAUUCCCAUACAAAGGGUGGAAUUCUAUCCCACCCCUUAACGGAUUAUUUCCACACUAGGAUAACCCGUUAGGAGCUAGGAUAGCAAUGCCAUCCUUUAUUUUUUGUGUUUGGGGAUAAAAGGGGAUAAUCUCCCAACCAAAUAAGGUGUUAAUGUUGCCCCUACCGUUAAGAUUUGUUAAAAAAAUUUAAUUAACUAUAGUUAAAGUACUUAACCUCAUUACUCAAUAAGAUAAAUUGACUUUUUUUUUUCUUAUACUAUACCUUCUUCUCUCAAUGAAAAUUUUAGCAAUGGGAACCCUUCUUCUUCUUCUUCUUCCUUUUUUUCCUCUUCUUCCUCUCUCUCUCUUUUAUAUUAGUUUCAAAUCCGCAACUAGAAUUUUUCUGCCCCCGUUCAUCCAUGACGCGUGUUGCUUCGCUGCAUAUUGCUUUCCCAUUCAACUUUCCUUAUAAUUUUUUUAUUUUGCUAAAAAAAAAAUAUUGAACAAAAAAUAAAUGAGAGAAGAGAUUGGGUUGAAUUUUAAAGAGAAAGAAAAUAACCAUUGAAAAAAAUUUUGGGAGAUAUUUCUGCACGAUUAUAACAGUUGAGGUUUUUGGAGGAACAUAUUUAUGAUGACAAAUUUAACAUUUUACUUAUUUGCUGUAAAAGAACAAACAGUUCUGUAACAGUAACAAACCGGAGGAACAAAUAUAAAUAUCACUGAACUUUUAUAGAAAUGACAUAAGAAAGUUAAACUUUGUAGGAAUAUAUUUGUAAUUCAUUAUAUUUACAAGGAGCCGUAUGUAAUUAAUCCUUAAAUAAAAUAAGGGAGUGUUUGGUUCGAAAUCGGAAUCGGUAUCAAAUUCGGAAUGAGAAUAAACUGGAAAUGAAAUCGAAAUGAUUUAUUAUCUCAUUCUAUUUGGUUCGCCACCUGAAUCGAAAACGAAAUGAGUCAUUUUUAUUGUCGAUGUUUGGUUUAAAUAGAUAUAAAAAACGUAAUCAAAUUAAUAUGUCUAUUUUAUCUUUAUAAUAUAUUAGUUUAAAUUUAAAUUGAAAAUUCGAUAUUAAAAAUUUACAUCAAAAUUUUAAAAAUGAUGUCAAAAUUUUAAAUAUUUUUUUUUAAAUAAAAUUUAAAAUUGAACAAAUAAUUCAAAAUAUAAAACUAAAUUUUGAUUUACCCAAAUUCAAACUUAAAAUUAUAAUUUAAAUUUCAAUUUAAAUCCAUCAAUUUAAUUUAAUUUUUAAAUAAAAUUUGAAUACAAUUUUAGAUUUUAAAUUAAAUUUAAAUUCAAAUAUAAAUUUUUAAAUUAGAUUUCAAAUGCUUGAUUGAAUUUUAAUUUUUAAUUUUUAAUUUAAGUUUAAAUUAAAUUUAAAUUUAUAAAUAUGAUUUUUAAAAUUAAACUUAUAUUUUAAUUAAAAAAUAAGUUUAAAAAAUUUAAAUUUAAUCCGAACAAAUUCAUUCCAUCCAGAUUCAAUUUUCAAUUCGACCUCCUAGGCUGGAUAGAAAAAAAGAAAAAUUAGAGACAUUUUUAUUCACCCGAAAAUCAGAAUCAAAAUAAAAAUCUCAUAUACCAAAUAUAAACAAACAAAUUUAUUUAUUUCAAUUUUAAUUCGAAGUGAAAGAGAGACGAAUCAAAUGCACCCUAACUGUAAUAGUAAUACAGCGGAAGUGAGUUCCAUCCGCUACAGGUAUGAGAAUGUGUCACGUGAGAUUCUAGAUGGGAUUUUGUACAUCCCACGUGCUUCACGCUGUUCGAUCUUAUUAAAGAUCUAUGGGCUCAUUUCCGGUAUAUCGAUCGAAAACUUAGUUCGUCGGGUUCGAGACUCGCAGGUGGGGUUAGCCCCGCUGUAGUCGGCAACGUGUCGGUACGAAAGAGCCCGAGCCCAACCCGCUUGGCUGCGCGACCGUGCUGUGGUACGCCGUACGGAGCCUAUGGUCGAGAGCCCACGCUCUCAUCCCUAUUCAGGUGGGACCCUCACUCCUUGCCACGUGGCAAGUUUUUUUUUUUUUUUUUUUUUUUUUUUUUUUUUUUUUUUGGUGGUAAGAUCUGGAUUCCACAGGAAGGUUCUGGACACGGCAGAAAGCCCCGCGUGACACUAUUUACAGUCAAAAUUUUCAUCUAAAAUGUAAAAUUUGAAUUGAAAUUUUUUUAUUUAAAAUACUUUUUUAAAAAAUAUAUAAAUCUUAAAUUGAACAGUUUAAACUGUGAUGGUGACAGUUUAGAAAUUCUAAAAAAAAAUUCAGAUUACUAGCAUUCAGAAAUGAAAAAUAGACACCCCUCUCGUUAAAAUAAUUAUCACUUUUUGGAAUAAUCUUAUUUCAUUCAGAAUGAAAAUAUUUUCUGUCUACAUUAUUAAGCAAGAUUAGCAAUCGCUAUAAAAUUUAUAGAAUUUCUAAAGAAAUAUCCAUCACACGACAAACCACAAGCUGGGGCAUGUACUGUGACUUGGAAAAAAAAAAUAAAACAGAUUUAAAACGCGGACAGCCAAAAAAGCCAAAAUGGUAUUCUAGCGUAGUAGAUGAUUAUUUUUAUUUUUUUUUUCCCAUGAAACAUAAUAGAUGAUUAAAUGAUUAAAUGCCACAAAACAGAGUGAAAAAGCAAACAAGUAAAUGCAGAACAAAUCCCCGACAAUUAAAAGUAUUAUUAACUAUUCAUCUUAGAGCUGUGGCUAGCAGUGUCUACAGGGCAUGCUUCUUGUUUCCUCCAUAAUGCAGUAGUAAUGUAGUACAACUGUGAUAAUUUUAAAAUGGUAAAAUCUAAUUGCCACGAAUCAACUCAAGAUAUCCAGUAGAGAUUAGGCAAUCACAUCCAUGUCUGCCAAAUAGAGUAUUUUCAAACCAUAACAUUUGCUCGCAAAUAAAACGAUACAACACAAACUAAUCUCAAGGCAACACUAAAUUGCGUUCCACAAACUUUCAGGAAGCAUACAAGUAUUCAUAUGUUUCACGCAACUAGAUUUUAAUAUAUGAUUCAUGCAACUAGAUUUUAAUAUAAACAUCCGAGGAUUCACAAUCAUUUCUUUGGAUUGUUAGUCAUAUUGUUGUCUCAGCUGCAUCUCGGUCUCGCUCUUCCAUGCAGAAUGAGUCGAUUGUCCUCUCAUCCUCUUGCUCUUCUCCUUCUCUUUGAUGGUCGACCCUUUCUUCUUAUCAGGUUCUUUUACCUCUGCAGGAGGGCGAUCUCCGCAAAUUGGGCACACUACGCCACGUGUAUGAGAGUAGGUCUUCGGAACCCCACACUGAAGGCACAUCCUAAGAUAAAAAAGAAUAAUACAUUUAGUCUGGAGAGUGUGGAUGUACUGUAAUUACAUCCUAACCGUCCAAAAGUAAAAGUUUCUCCUAUAAAAUGAUCAUUUUGCGUCUUCUGCUGUAAAAUGGUUUCCUUGUUUCAGUGUGUACUUCAAACAGCGUUCUAAAGGCCAUUUUAUUGGAAAAGUAUGUUGUCAGAUCGUUCUCUUUUUUUUUUUUUUUUGGCUAAAAUACAGCAAACCCCUCUCAAUAUAUCGCAGGUUACAUUUUACCCUCUAAAUACAAAAAAAUAUGUAAUUAACCUCCCUUGAAAGAUCAAAUAUAUCUUAUAAGAUUAUAGUGUUAAAAGAAAUAGUGAAAUGACUAAAUCUGCCUCAUUUUUUACCUUUUUAUUUUCCACCUCAAGGGGGUGAAGUGCAUAUUUUUUAGUCUAAGAGGCUAAGUGCUAACAAUGAAAGUAUUCAGAAGGGUUAAGUACAUAGUUUCUUUAUCCAAGGGGUUAAAUACAAUACAUAAUAUAUUGAAGAGGGUUUAAAAGUGCACAUUUUAGCCUUUUUUUUUUGUGCACGAGCAGGAUAUAGUUGCAAUAUAUGAGAAAGUAGAGGCCAUAAUAGUGUUGAGACUUUGGGCGAAAAGCUCAGGGAGUGAAUUGCACUACUGGGAUGGUGCAGGGACUAUCCAAACAUUUUACCCUUUGUGAAGUCUUAGUGACCCACAAAAAGAAAAGGUACCUCAAGAGUUCAGCAGCAUCUUGUGCUCCUGGAUUUGCAGCGGUAAUUACUCGUUUGGUUUCACCAAGAGUCACAUGACCAGAAGAGGGCGUGCUCCCCUCAACAUCACUUCUUACUCGAUCACGAAUGGCAACUAACUGAGGUUUUCCCUCCAGCACAGCACCUGGAAAUAUGCUUGGUAAGCUAUUGCUGAAAAGUAGCCACACAAAGAAAGUUGCAAAUUGGAUGCAACAAGUAUGAAAAUAUUAGCAUAGACAGUAAGCAUAAUUAAAAUUUAGCACACAAAAAAAACAUAUAAUAGAUUGUUUCAACCGAAGAAUGGCCCUUAAUAGGAGCUACCAAUGCAAUUGAACAUAUGGCUAGCUCCAAACGAUAUCAUCUGGCAGGUUUCUCACCAUCUGACCGCCCAAAUAGUGCCCCAUAACUGAAUGAUCAAUACAAACAUGACUAACCUUCACCACUCGGGGUAAGUUACAAUUGAUUUGUGCACUCGAAAUGCAACAAGCACAUAUAUAUGCAGCUUCAUAUCCAUACAGUUGGAUUUGCCAUUUGGCAGAGUCCUAGGCUAUUUCUAUAGAUGCUAUAUACAGUUGGACUGCACAAUUGGAUGAUAAGCAACUACAUAAAAUUUCACCACUAGUAGUGAAUGCUAGGAAAAGGUCCUAAUUUUGUCCAAGAAUCUAACGUAAUCUUCUGUCAGAAAAGUACCAUUUGUUUACACUUUUCAAACACUUGAUAUGGGUUUGGUUGUAUAUUCUGCGGCAAGAAUGUUGCUAGCUUCUGAAAUGUUGCAUUUCAUUUUGCAUAUAAGUUAUAGUUAUUUUUUUGAAGUCAUCUGUGACAUCCCUGGGAUUUGAAAUAGUGCUAUAUAUAAGAUAUAAUAGAGCUAAACCUUUUAACCCGGCUACAACAUUUUGGACGAUAACUAGGCCCAAGAGAUUAAGAGAGUUAAGCGUGCUAGAGUUAGAAUAGUUCUAAAAUGGAUAACCCUCUUAGGAAGCAUGCGUCAUAGUUAUCAGAGCCAAUCACUAGUCGGAAGUGUGAGAUGAGUUUCGACUGAGUCAAGAUUUGAAUGACGGGCUAAAUGUGUCUCAUAUUGUAUGGUGCUUGUUAGUGCACUUGAACAUGACGAGAACGUCAGAGCUUAAAGGGGAGAAGAAUGUGACACCCUCAAAAUUUAGAAUAGUCCAAUAUAUAAGAUAUAAUAGAACAAAAUCUCUUGAUCUGAAUAUAGCAUGGGCGGUGGCUAGAUCAAAGAGGUCAAGAGAGUUGAACAUACUAGGGCUAAGGUAGUUCUAGAAUGGGUGAGGCGUCACAUCAUCUUUCAUCCAAUCCAUUGUCAUCCAACAUACAAAAAAUGUAUUUUUAUUUUCUGUCUUUCCUUUAUCUUCCCUAUAUUUAUGCAUGCCGCAGUGACAAAGUAAAGAUAGAUCGAGUAGAAGGGAAAGUAUAAAGGAGGAGUAAGCUAGAGAAGAGCAGUUCCCUUAUACGGGUGAAAGCCGAAAUCAACACCGUGGAACAUGAGUAAUUGGUUUUUCAGUUGCAUUAGGUUGUUGAGAUGAAUCGGCAGAUAACAAUAGAUUGUGAUUAGGAAUGCGAAGAGCAAAACUAGCAAUAUUAUUCCUAAAAUAAUAUCCAGUUUAGAUGAUCUAUCCAACGAUUACACUUUUACUGCCGCACUAUCACAAAACUAUAGACAUAUCGAGAGGGGUCCAAACAUGUCUUUUGGUGAUGCAAGAGAGAAAUUAAUAAUAUCAUAUUCUAUUAAAUACUUAAACAGUGUUGAUGAACUUCCCCUCUCUCAGUUGCUGGUGUAUUUUUGUGUACGUGCAAAUUCAUGUUAGUGUCGGCCUAUAAACUCACUAAAAUUUAAGAUUAGAAGAGAAAGGAUCUGUGAAUUAAGGUUCGCACAAAUUAACGAAUCGAACAUCAAAAAGAUUAAACCCUUUUAGAGGCGUACCAGCGGGAAGAUCCUUCUUAUCUCUCUUCGACCGAUCUCUCGCCCUCCGAUCGAGCACCCCGAGCGCUUCUCGCGUCUCCUCGGGAGCGGCGACGCAGUUGUUGAGAAAAUCCGGAGGCCCUGUGCACUCCACAAACCCCAAAUCGAAGCAAAACACAGACCCUAUCAUCCCAAACACCACGAAGAACACGAAUUCGUUGUGCGCGAGAAUCAAAGAAGAGCGAUAUAGAGAGAAUGAGAUACCUCGGCAAAGGCCUCUAACGCGGAGGGGACGGCGGAAUCGGGGGAGGGUUUUGGGGCAUCGGAGGGCGAUUUCUUCGCCCCAUUGGAUCGAUUGCUCCGAGAGGCGAGGGGUUCGUCGCCGCGCUCCUCCUCCCCAUCGUCGUCUUCGUCUUCGUCGUCGUCGCCAUUGUCGCUGAGGGAGGAAGAAGGGUUACGAUCGUCUCCUUCCCCCUCCUCGGAGGCGGAGGAGUAGCCCUGGAGGAGUUCUAAGCUCAUGGGGAGAGGCGACGCGGUUCUCAGUGUAGGGCUCGAAACUAGUUUUCGCAAAACCUAUGUCGGGUGAGGAUAACAACGAGGGCCCGCUAAAGCCAGGUCCGACCCACCUCAAAAUGGACCGGAUCAACCAAAUCGGAAAUUUGAACCAGCCCGCAUUGAGUUUUGAGUGGAGUCGAAGCCCAAUAACCUCGUGGAUAUGAUUUGAUCUGGUACGGUGAGUCGCCCAGGUAAUAUUGGGACGUGCCCUCAUAGGCCCAUCAAGUGUAUAGCCAAUAGAAAAAAAAAUGAAAAUAAAAAAUAGAGAGGGUGACAAUAAAAAAAAAAAUUAAGUAAAAUUAAUUUACAAAACCAAGAAGGUCUACAAACUGUACAGUUAUUUCAAUCUGAUUUGUUCUUGGAAUUGAAUGAAAAUUCGAGUAAUUAAAAGCUAAAUAAAAAGGAAUUUCCAUUCAGAGAAAAGGGGGGAAAAGCAACUUUUAAAUAUGUUUUAGACAUAAAUGUACGUAUCUGCAUGUUGAGCAAGCUAUGUUGAACAUAAAUGAUCUCAGGUACACUGUUAAAUAUUAUGAAACUAUGAAACUAUUAUUAUUCUUUAAAAGAAUAAACUGUCACUGAACAAUUAAUAUCUUUUAAGCUAUAUAUUCAACAAUCCACUCAUGCCAUUCGCAGGCUCAAGACAUAAACUUGAAUAAAAGGGAAAGAAACCCAAGAUGUAAACUUAAAAUAAAUAUGAAGAAAUUAAUUAUACUAGGAGCCAGUUUAGCAAAACUUGAACUUAAAACCUUAUGUGUUAAGGAAUAUGAAAUAACUUUUAUUCUCGAAAAGGUUAAGUUACUAGUAAACGGUCUUUUAAUAUUUAUAUUCAACAUAUAUGUUUUUUUUUUUUUUGAGAGAGAGAGAGAGAGAAGUAACAUGCUAUAUAUUUCGUUCUUUUUUUUAGAAAUAAAUAAACUUAGUUAGAAAUAAGAAACAACUAAAUUUUGAAAUUGAAAUUUCAGGUAUCAUGCAACCAUUAAGAUUUUUACCACUUUACGUUGGGGACGAUCGGUUCAACGCACAUAUUUUCAUUUGGUUGAUCACACAUAAUUCGAGACUUUUCUAUCUCGAUUCGAGCUUCUCAAAAAUCAAGCAUGGGUAGCUAACUAUCAAAGGACAGAACAGCUUGAGUCUAGGAGAAAUAUAUGUUUCUGCAAUCGAAAAUAUCUUUUAAAUUUCUUUAACUAUAUAUAUUAUUCAGCAAUGAAAUUAAUGGGAAUGCUUGAUAUCAUUAUUAGAGAACAUAUAUUAAAAGAAAACUGAAGUACAUUAAAUGCAACAAGAACAACAACUAAACAUUGGAUCCAUUUUGGGAACAUAAGAAAGUAUCAUCAGCCAACACCACGUUGACACGUGGCGGCUAAUUAGUUCUUGUCAGAGUCUAAUAUUGGUGGGGGCACCUCAAUGCAUGCAUGCAGUGUAUAUCCAUGUGAUAAUAAUAAGGUGGCAGAGUUAAGAGUAGCCCAUUAAUUACCAACCCCACUCAAACUAUACAGGAGCUCAACGUUUUCAAUGCAUGAUGCCAAAUUAAACAUGGGCCUGCACUGAUCAUACUUUGCUCAGAGUACCCUUACCCAUCUUUUUGUCUCUUUUCCUUUAUUUUUUUGAGAAUAAUAUGUAGAUGUAAUGUGAUCAAUAUGUUGUCAUUGUUACCAUCUAGUAUACCUCGGCCUUGUCUUUGAUAUUAACUUCAAAGUUGUAGUUGGUUAAUAGUAGACUUGGUAUACAUGAAUUUCGAAGAGAUUAUCUGAUAGAAAAUGAUCUAGAAAAUAUUGUUAACGCUUCCUUACGUGCACGACAAAUAUAAAUGGCACGUAGAUAUACCAUCGAUCUUACUUCCCGAUGUUAAUAGAAAACAACCAAGGAACAUUGCCAGAAGAUGGGCAUAUAUUAGACGUCGCAUACUUAAACAACGUCACUAAAGUCCUUAUUAAUCUAUUGCAUUUCUCCUUAUACUAAUACAGUGAAUGUGCUAAAUGAUCUGUGCUUAAUCGCUUUUAUCGUCUGUUAAUGAGUUUGGUAGAGGUUGGUGAUGAUCAGUACGUAGCUAGUGAUUCUUGAUAGGUUGUUGUUGUCCCAUCAGGAAGCUAGCUCCUCUCUUAGUGUCACCAAUUAUAGGGCCCUCCGGGAUCGAAAUUGCCUGUUUAUUUAUCAAUAAAACUAAAGGUUCACAUAUAUACAUAUGUAGGAUCUAGUUCUAUAUAUGUAUAAAAAAUGACUUGGUUCAUUGAGCAUGGGCACCAAUGAUGAGCUGAAUACAGUGAAUUCACCAUCUUUCCACGCAUGAAAGGAAUAGAGAUCAAAAGGAGAGAGCAAGGCUUUGUCAAAGGAUUUUGGAUGCAUGUUAGUGUCCCAUUCGCAAACCAGGUGUGCUCAAAAAGGCAUUAGAGUUGAAGUGGAAUCCAACUCCUCAUUCAACCACAUAGAUUCCCUUUACACCUAGUGGGUGUCUGUGGCCUACUAGAAAGGAUAAUUCAUGCCUCAUGAGAGAGAGAGAGAGAGAGAGAGAGAGAGAGAGAGAGAGAGAGAGAGAGAGACUAUUGAUAAUGCACAGAUUCCAUUGCCUCUGUUGGAGUGUGGACGAAUUGAGAUCCAAGGUGGUCUAUGGUGGAGUUGAGAUUAGAUCCUACGUUUUAGAACAAUAUGUAUUGAUGGUUGUUUUUACAGGUAGUGAAGUGAUAUAAAAAGCAGUCAUCUUCAUCGUUAUUAGACGUAAAGUAUAUUCAUUAAUCUGGUCAGAUUCAGCCAGUAAAUAGUGAUAAAACAUUCAAUCAUUUGAGCUAGUAAAUAGUAACCGGAAUCAAUCAUUCUAUUAAUAUCGCUGUUAAUAUAUAACAUCAAUAUCAAUCUUUUAAGUAAACAAAGUAUUUCAGGACAAUGCUGAUCAUGUUCUCUACCUGGGGAUAAUCAUUCAUUGCUGACCUUAACAUUUUAGGGUCAUGUGGGUUGUGGGCUAAUUUACCAUGGCUAUAUACAUGUUCCUUGGUUCGAGAGCAAAAGAGCUUCUGCAAAGCUAUUGGUGUAAAAUAUCCAGUCAAAGCAUGCAGCCAUGUUUUUUCACCAUUAUAAUAAUGUUUUCUUCUGCAUCCUAUAAUGGUUGCACUCCAUAUUCUAUAUGCAUGAAAGGGUCUUUUCUUGCACUAAUAAGUGGGGGAUCUCAAGUGCAAUCUCAAUAAUAUAAGGUAUAUGCUAGAUGCAUAGCUAUAUCUUCUGUUCUAAAAGGAGGGUGAAUUAGGGUAUGUGUGGAAGUGGGGGAGCAAAGAAACAGCUGUAAUUAAGCAAAUAAAAACUUUGAAUUAAAAAAAUGUUAAGGCGGUUUUUUACAGUGGCUCCCAUUAAAUGGGGUGCUUAAUUAUCCAUGAGUGUAUAAGAUAUGUAGAGGUUAGACUUAAUAUUGUUUCUAUUUUCUGUGCCUUUGUAUUUCAAAGUUAGAGUUGCCAGGAUUGUAUGGAGUAACAAGGUUGCUAUCACUGGAGACUCAGGUUUCCAAUCAUGGAGUUUUCUCAGAUCUGACACCAAAAGCAAGAUCUUUUAUAGCAUAGCAUAUUAGCAUUAGAGGCAACUGUGAUAGCUGCUGAUGUGAAAGGGCUUUUAACUCCUCUCCUCUCUAUAUGAUGGAGUAUGCUCUCUCUCCUUCUUCUAAUGUGUAGCAAAACAUUUCUAGUUGUUUAUUGCUUCUCAAUGCUUAUGCAUUAAAUAGAAGAUGAGGUAACCAAAGGUUGCAUGAUUGAAAACCACAGAUAAAGAACAUAAGACAUCUCUGGCAUUGUCACAUUACUUUAUGAGGGACCCAAUUAACCUAUUUGGUGAUUCUUUCAGAAUUUUUGUGAAUGAUUGGGUAAUAGGAAGGAUGUUGUGGUUGGUAGAUAUAUAUUAAUGUGUGUGAGAGGUAGAGAGAGAGAGAGAGAGAGAGAGAGAGAGAGAGAGAGAGAGAGAUGAUAAGGUAGUAUUCAUUGCAGUUAGUGGAUGCUUUUCUACUAUUGGGAGAUUCAUCUGUAACAGUUGAAAGUGGACUAAGCACUCAAUAUUUAACUUCUUAAGGAAAAAAAAAAAACUUUUUACAUAAAAUAACCACUUGUUGUGAUUGUGAUAACACACAAAUUAUGCUUAAGGAGAACAUGAGAUGUCAUAUAUACUCGUAUACACUUUUGAGAGUCUUAACAAUUUAAGCAUAAUAUUAUUAGACGUAGAGUCAGGGUGCAUGCGUAUGUUAGCCUAUUCAUAUAUAUGAUUGAGACCUUUGUCCUUAAAAAGUGCAGUUCUAAUUAGUUGUUGCAUUAAUUAGAAAGGUUCCAAAUAGAAACUAGAGGACCACAUGAAGAGUAUAGAAACCUCAAUGAUUAGUCCCAACUGGGAGCUUUGAUACUAUAAAACAUGAAUGCUCAAUCAAUCAUUGAUAAGGCUGUGGAAUAGAGCUCUAGAUUCCCAUGCAAAUCAAUUUGACGAACAAAGCUGGUUCAGUAAGAACCUCCUACAGUAUAGCUAGGCAUAUAUUUCAGAGGGAAUUUAUGGUAGAAUUUAUACAAAGGUUAGUAAAGGAAAAGCAAAUACAUUAUGUAGAACAAAUAAAAUCAAGUUUGGUUGGGGUAAGGGAUAUUCCCUCCUUUAUACCGAAAUAUAAUUUUGGGAGAUUUGAACAACAGUUCUCCUUUUCCUAAACAAGUUGGUAUAAGUUUAAAAUUGUUGUUCCAUCCUUUUUUUUUUUAGAGCAAGCUUGUUCCUAAGCGGGAAUACGCUUAAUUAAAGUUUAAAUUAAUUUUAAUUAUGGUAUUAAAUUAGUAGCUAAUUUAAUUAAUAUAUUUAAAUCAUUAUCUAUUGCUUAAAUAAUAAAGUAAUUAAUUAAUUUAUUAUAUACAAUUAAUUAGCUAACUAAAAAUUAUUAAUUUAAUGUGUUUAUCCAUAAACUAAUAUUUAUAUUGAUCAACUGUUAAUAUUUUUACUAAUCUAAUUAAUUUCUUUCCUAAUUAUCUAACUAAAAUAAUUUACUAACUAAUUAAAAAUUAAAUUAUUUUUUUUUAUAUUUUCAUUAUCUUAUACAAUAUUCAUAGCUAAUAAAUAUAUUAAUUUAUUAAACUAUUUUUAAUUAAUAUUUUAAUAUUAAUUAAUUAAAUAAAAUAUUUUUAAUUUAAAAUUAUAACUCUUAUUCCUUCUAUUUUAAUCUAACCAUUCAAACACUAUUUACUUUAUUUCUAGUAAUAACCUAAUUUUCAUCCAAACGUAAAAUUAGUAUUUAAACUUGUACCUAUUCGUAGAAUAAACAGUUCUUAUCUAUAUUCAAACCAAACGCAAGCAGAGGCUUCUAGCAACAGUAAAACCAAACGCAGUUGUUAUAUACCAUUGAUUGUUUAAAAAAGGUAUUACUGAAUAAUUUCCUAUCAUAUAUCCUCAACAUGGAAAUUAGCGAGGGGCCUAAUUAAGUUAGCACAUUUCUGUAUAUAGACCCUAUACUCAAUUCCUACGCCGUGAAAUAUUCAAUGUUUCACGCAGAGUAGUCCAUCUAAUCAUCAUCAUAUACACCAACAAGUAUACAUAGUAAGCCAACUGCAAAACCAUUUCCUCUAAAUCACUUUUAUAAUAACAAAUUAAUAUGAGUAAUUAAGCUUCCCUCUAAUUAAAAAAGCAACAACAAUUAACUUCUCAUGCACCUGAUAACAAAUAAGGAAAAGGCACAUGAUCAUCCAUAAGAUCCAACUUAAUUAAUUCCAUAGGAAAUAAUUGAUAUUUCCCAUCUACAUAGAUCUAGUUAAUUAAUUACAAGAAUUUAGCCUCUUGCGUUCCGCCAAGCAAGCUAAUUUUGCAUGGUUUCAUGAGCAUAAUAAUAAUAGUAAUAAAAUGGCUCCCAUUAAAAAAAAAAAAAAAAAAGGAACAAAAUAGUAAAGGAGAGUACAAAAGGCUCCAACUUUUGGAGCCUUUCCCUCCUCGAUCCCUAAUACGCAUAACAACCAGGUCCAUGCAAAAGCCACCACAUAAAUCGAGCUUCUACAUCUGUGGUGGGACACCUAUAUAUCUCCUCUUCGCGAGCCCCUGCACGAGGCACUUCCACUCCACUAGCCGAAGCAAGAAGUCCAUAACCUGAAAAGAACAUUAUUUGAAAGAACCAAAUCAGAAACUUUUACCCUCUCUUCUUCUUUUUUUUUUCUUUUUUUCUUUUUUUUUUUUUUUUUUCUGUGUAGGAUUUAUUAAAGAAUCAAAAUCGACAACUUGGGGUUUAUCUCAUUAAUUAGAAGUGGAUGUGAAAACCACGUCAGGUGGUCCACAAGGUGAAGUGGAUUGUGAUAAUAUAUCCCUAAGAAUCUGACUGCAGAAUAGCUAGCGGCCGCAUAUACGCAAAUACUCGCCUCAGCAGGCUCUUGGAGUGAAUAGGAGGCGUUUGUCUCCUUAGGAUGGCUGGAAACAAGUAUGCCGAGGCCUUGUCCCCUGUCUCUUAAUACCUGAUACAAAACAAAAACAUAAUAUAAUAUUCCUUGUAAAUAAGUUUUGAUUUAUAAUACGAUUAAUCAACACACCAAACAAAAGGGAGUGUACUUUACAAGGCGCUUCGCUUGGAUUUAUUUUACCUUAAAAGCGUCUUCAUCAGUGCGAUCGUCCCCGAUGUAGACCGGGAAAACAUCGCUGCAAUCGGCAUAUCCUAGAAAACGUACAUAAAUUAGUUAAGACGGCUAAUUAAUUGGCUUGCGAAUUAUGAUCGAUCGGCAAACUGAACAUGUGAGAGGGAUGCGAUGAAACGGGGGUGGUUUUAGCUUACCGAGUGUGUUCAACAGAAACUCCAGGGCCUUGCCUUUGUCCCACUUAAUCGUGGGGCGAACCUCGAUUACCUAUUUGUUAAUAUGGCAAUGAACCAAGUCAAAUUCAUGUUAAUAUAAGUAUAAAUAACACUGUAAUCAUAUAUUGGCCAAUGGAUUUGGACCAAAAUCACACCUUUCUCCCAUGAGAAAUUCUCAACUUGGGGUACUCCUUGAGCACUGACUUAACCUGUUCAGCCAGUGCACUCCAUCUCUGUACAAAAGUGAUUAAAAGGUUAAAAGGAUUAAUGGCAUAAAAUACCAAGUGGGCGCAUCUUAAAUAUAUAACAUCACUUAUACCUUUUCAUCUACACAUCUGAAGUGGACAGAUACACAGAACUUGUUGUUCUCCACCUUGGCUCCAGGUGUGGAUUUGGUCUUUUCUAACAAAGCUUCAUAAACCUGACAAAAAGUUAUAAAGCACAAGAACCCAAUUUACAUAAAACUCCAUGCACAAGCUAUUCAAGUUGUGGGAAAGAUAAAGAGAGGAGAGGAAAAGGAGCCAACCUCAUCUAUCAUGGGGAGGAAUUCGCUAGCUGGUUGAUAGAGAACUUCAUUGGCCUAUACCACACAAAAGAGAAUGAAAAAAGAUAAGCUUUUACGAAAGGGAUGUAAUGAACAUGCAUAUAUGCAACUUAUAUGAGAGCAAACAAAGGUUGUUUACCUGAGCUUUUGUGCACUUGGAGACUUUAACAGGGCCUGUAAUAUCCAUGCCGUGGCUACCAGCGUAGUAUAACUCAGCUAAUCUCACAAAGCUAAUCACCUAAUAAACACCAAUAAAACAAUGGAGUAAGAGAAACAGGGGGAUGGCCAAGUGAAAGAAACUAAGCAGUUGAGCGUGAUGAAGAACGGAAAAUGUACCUUGUCCGUGCACCUCCCGCUCACGAUUGCGGUGGGGAAGCACUUCGCCACGUCGCUCACCGCCGCUCUCAUCUAAUAAUCCAAGGCAAAAACCAAAAGAAAAAAAAAAGGCUACUUUUUAGUAUGGAAACCGAGGAAAACAGGGGAGACUCAGAUAGAGCUCAUGGGAACUCACUUGAUCGGACAUGAAAGCGGAGUCGGGGUCGUCGACGAUGGGAGAAAGGGUCCCGUCGUAGUCCAAGAACAUCACGAUUUGCUUUCCCAUUGACGCUUUAACGAUGUGAUCAAACUUGGCCAAAGCCGAGGGGUGCCGCACCUGCUCCAAAACACCCCGAAAACCUCAUCAGGCCAGAAACAAACACACACAGAUCCAAAAAAUCGGAUUUUUUAAGCGGAAAACGGGGAGCUCACCAUCCACGCGGCGUACUCGUCCUUAGCGGCGCCGGGCGCCGCCGCCUCCGCCGCCGCCGCAGCCUCGGCGAGCGCGGCCGCGGCCUUGGCGUGGGUGGGCGACGAGGCCCUCAUCGACUCCACCCACGGGUUCAUCUUCGCGGGGCCGAACUCGAGCGGGGCCUGGUACUUCUUCCUCAUGGCGACUCCCCCUCCAGCUCCGCCGCCGGCGCCACCGGCGCCGGCUGCGACGGCGCUGCAGCUGCGCGGCGGGGGGUAGGUGAGGAGCGGGGACGAGGCGGGCACCGCCGCCGCUACCGCGAUGCCCAUCUCCGACAUUACCACGUUCUGCUUCGUCAUCUCCAAUGGCGAGAGAGAGAGAGAGAGAGAGAGAGAGAGAGUUGGGGGGUAUUCGGAGGGUUCGGGUCGAAGUAGGGGGGGGGGGGAGUUUUGGGUAAGCGAAGAGGAAGUGCGAGGUAGGGUGGAGCGAAGGGAGCGUGCGGGGAGAGGGGAGAUUUAUAAGUGGAUGUGGAGGGAGAAUCUGUGGCCCGGCCCAGAAGCAGCCGAAGCCCACACAAAGUCCACGUGGGCUUCGCGUGGGCCCCGCCUCUUCCCUACUCCAACAUUUCAAAAGUCGCGGGAGGCCGCAACGCGUGCCGACUAAAACAGGUCCCACUCUCCCAUGCACGGACACCCCGCGCUUUCUCCACUGCCGCGUGCGAUUUAAAAAAAAAAAAACGCUAAUAAAUAUUUAUUUUUAUUUUCAUCUUUUUUUAUAUCGUAAAAAGCCGAUUAUAAUAUACUCUUUAUAAUUCUAUAAAAAAAAAUACAGAAAUAUAUAUUUCAAUAUAUUUUUAUCCCAACUCUAUAUUUAUAAAAAUUAAAAACCUUUGGAGAAAAAUUAGAAAAAACUGGGAAUAGCACGUGUUCUAACCCUCCCUUGAUUUCAACAUCACAUCUUGUCGUUUCAACUAUGAAAAUUUAUUAUCUAUUUUUCCAUCUAUUAAAGCAUUGCAUACAUUGAACUUAUUUUAUAAAAUAGCGAUAGAUGUGAUAUAUAUAUACAUAUAUAUAGAAUUAGGCUGGAAUACUAUUAAUAGUUAAACGCUCUUUUUGCUAUCAAGUUUUUAAUCCUUGGAUGAAAAAUUGUAUGGUCAGGAUGAUAUUAGUCGGUUAGAAUUGAAAUAUAUAUAUAUAUAUAUAUAAAGUUUUAUUUUUUAUAUGAAGUCUUAUGAAUACAAUGUACAAGAUGCAUUUAUACAUCCAGUACACAGAGCAAUAUCUUCUCUACUCAUCCAUUUUCAUUUUUCUAUUAUUUAUUAAUUUAAAUUAGUUUAAUAAAUUUUUUCUCUAAUUUUUUUCACAUAUCUCACUAAUUAGUCUUAUAAAAAUUUAUGCUGCACAUAUACGAUUUUAAAUUUAUUAAGUUAAUAAUUAGGCUAAUAAAAAUAAAAACAUCAUUAGAAUUUAUUAUUAAAAUAUUUAAUAUUCGCAGCAUCAUGCUUGUCUUUAACUAGUUUAUUCUAUAAAAAUUUUAAAUCUGUAAUUUAAUUUAUUGAUACAUUUUUAUAACAAGUCAGAAAUUAUAUUAUAAAUUUUUGAAAUAAUAUGAAUAUACCUUUCAAAACUUCAAAAAUAUCUUAUUCAUCUUUGGUAAUUUCAGAAUAAAUUCGAAAACUUUGAAUAGUAACCAAGCAUAAAGAAGUAAAAGCUCUUAUAUUUUUUGCGUUGUUGAUUUUUUAGACUACUUAAAUAUAUUAAAUGAUAUAAAUUAUAUUUAUUAAAUUAAAUUUUAAGUGUGUGAACUCCCGCUUCAUUUUUGAACCAAUAAUACAAAUGAAAGUACCUGGGUAGCCAACAAAAGGAACAGUUAUAUUUAGCGAAGCUUUCUGUUAAGAGACGGUCUAAUCAAUCAUUCAUCGUCGAAUAUAUGUUUUGGGAUUGACUAAGUCAUCUCCUUUAGUGCCCGCAUAAUUAUUGUAUGCGGUCACCCAACGCACCCACUGAUUCGCUACUCGCUUUUCCGGACCAGUAAAUGAUACGUCCGUGUCCACUUGUUAGGCUCCCUUUAAGCCUCUCACCAACCAAUCAAUUUUUUAAAUAAAUAUUGCGAAAAUUUCAAAAAACCCACGUGAUUUCGUAGUUUCUCACUUUGCCCUCAUGUGGUUUAAAAUAUAUCAAUUUGCCUCUCUGUGGUUUCGUUUUUAUCUUUUUCUUAUCAAUUUUAUUAUUUUUUUUUUUCUUAAAUCAGUGAUAAGGUUAAAAUUAAAAGGUACUAUAGUGAAUAUUUGAUAAAUCUAGAUGGAUAUCUGAAGUUUUUUUUAUAUAUAAUUUAAUGAAAUAUUAACGAAAAAGCUACCGAAAAGAUAAAAACGAAACCACAGGGGGCAAAGUGAGAAACUACGAAACCACAAGGAGGGUUUUUGAAGUUUUCCCAUAAAUAUUUGACAUCUCCAUUGCGUGUAUUUGGACAUCUUUCUCGGUUUUAUUGAUUAAAAAGCAGGGGACAACUUUGGGUGGUUCUACAUUAUUUGAGACGCCCCUCGUAACCUUCGAAAACAAGCAGCUCCAACCACCAGGGGAAGCAAAACCUGGAGCCGAGUUUUUUUUCUUUUUCUUUUUUUAAUUAAAUUGCAUUUAAAUAAUUUUUUUUUUAUUCUAGAAGGUUAGUAUUAACUAUAUUUUGCACACAUAAGCAAUUACGUUGUUUGUUAAUUGUUAAAGAUCCAAUGUAGUGUAUCGUAUUAAUAGAUUCUACUUAUGUGUCGUGCAUGCAGCGUUAAUGUAAUUAAUGUUGCUAUCAAACGUAGGUAAAACAAAAAAACAAAAACAAAAACAAAAAACAUAAAAAGUUGGUGUGACACCUAAUCUAGCUAAUUAAUCCUAGGGGCAUUAUUUAUAGAAAAAACAUACAUAAUGUUACAAUUUAUUUCAAAUUAAAUAUUAAUUCUUUUUUCUACGUACCAUGAAAGAUGAAACGAAUUUUGUUGGAUGUGUUGACUAAUUCAAAUCCUAGUAAUUUAGUAAUUAUUUUUAUCGACUCAGCAUGUUUUAAGUGCAAUGCAUAUAUAGGCAAUUGUAAACAUUUUUGUGGAACUAAUUAAUGGGUUCCUAAUUAUGGAAAGCUACUACAUUCAAAGCGAGUUCCAUAUAUAAACUCUGUCAAGUUUCAUCAAAUUUUAACGACCUUUUUCAUUAAAGAGAUAGUAUAUAGAUUUGAUAGAGCUUAGAGUCAUGAGCUUUAAUUUGUUCUUGUUAGAAUGAUAUUUUUGUUUACUUUUUGCAAUCUGUUAUAUAAUUUACUACAGUAUAUUUGAAUUACGAUAGUAUAUUUCGCGUUUUGUAUAUGAUUUACCACACUUAUAAUAAGUUCAAACAAGUUUAUCAAAAUUAGUUUUGUUGAUAUAUAAUGCUCGCAGAGCAAGCAGUCGUUUAACUUAAACAAUAUAAUACUAAUGUUUAAAAAUAGUAAAAUAAAUUCGUUAGUAAAGUGAGAUCAAUGGCACAAUAUUUGCAUGAUUAAUUGUGUGGCAAAGUGUCCAAUGAAUGAAGCGGGUAGCGCGCUAUCUUUUUCUCAAAAAAAAAAAAAAAUUUGUGUGGCAAAGUGAAAAGGUGAGGUGCAUAUUAAUGCAAUAUGAUAGUGUGAUAGGUAUCAUCUACAAAAUAUAACUUUUUUUUUUUCAAUUGAAUAUUGAAGGUGGAAGUCGAAUUCAUGCGUACUCAUAUAAAAAUAAGCAAAAUUUACAAUCGACUCUAAUACCAUAUUAUUCCAAAAAAUUAAUUAAUAUGAUAAAAAAACAAUAUAAAAAUUACAUUAACAGUAAAAAUAUGGGUCUCUUUGCUCCAAGUACAAGAGCAUGGAGCAAUGUUCGAGUGAGGGGUUGUGAUUGGGAAAAAAAGAAAAUGGUUACUUCUCCUACUUCAACAACAGUGUCUGGAUCGUACCUAACAUGUUAUAUAUAUCACAAUUAAAUGCUCACAUGAGCACCCAUACGCUAACCCACAAGUACACACACACACACACACACACACACACACACAAUACUAAAAUUAAUUUCUAGCAUUUAUUAUCAAUUACAACGUAAUAUAAAAUAUAUAAAAAACAAUAUAAAAUAAAUAUAAAAGCAACAAAAUAAUAUUAUAUAUAUAUGAAGAAAAGACAAAGAAAUAGGUCCAUCUCAACUUCCGCGCCCUCGUGUGUGCAUGUCUUCGUCGUAAAAGCCGGUGCAAGGAACGGGGACGGUGCAUGCGCAUGCGAGGGUCACCCACCCCUCCCUGCGACACGUGUCCUCUGAACUUCUUCUUUUACUACUUCACACCUCUCGUAGCCACCUGUCCAAACUACCAUUAUUAUUUUUUUUUUUUUUUUUUUUUUUCCAGUUUGUAGGCAUUUACCCACAAACAGAAGUAACUUUCGAUAAGCGCUAUCAAUAUAUUUUAUUUGGAGUUUAUAUUUUGUAAAGUAAUUAGGUUUCGAAUUUGGAUCUUCAGGUACUAACCAACAAAUUCUUUAUAACUUGUGCUAAAUAUGACCAAUCACAAUUGAAGUGUUUUCUAGAUAAUAAACUAUAACACUUUGAAGUUUGUAUAUAUAGUGCAUUGCAAAUUGAAUAAAGUUCAAAAAGUUUGGAGCUUUUCUUUUGUUUAGAUUAUAUUAUAUCCUCAAAGCCUAGGAGGAGACAAAUGUCACGGAUGGCCCCAGCAUAAAAGCCAUUUUCUCUUGUUUUGGAGUGGCACCAUCUCCUGUGCUCCGACUCAUCGAGCCAUCUUUCCAGUGUUGGUGUGAGUCAGAAGAAGCGCUUCUGGGGUCUCUUUGACGUAAAAGCUGCUCGUGAGACGUAACGGGCAUGAAGAUCUGCUUUUUCAUGAAGCUGAAUCAUUGAGAUGAUCACCCCCACUCGAUCCUCAACAUAAAGGGUCUAAAAAUAAAUAAUUAAAAAAAGCAUACGCGCAUAUAUAUAUAUGAUAUAAAAUAGAUUGACUCUGAUACUAUGUUAUAUAAAAAGUAGACACGAUAGGAGGAUUAACUAAUCUCUAGUUGAGAGUACCAAACAAAUUGUGAUCUGCUUGUUGGUGCUAAUUAAUUUCUCAAUUAAUUAAUCCAUGCAACAAGUAAGAUAAUUAUCAUGUUCAUAACUAUCAAAUCAAUCAGAUCUGAUAAUACUAAUUAAGAAAUCAAGUCAAAUUUAGCGGCUAAGUGAUAAUAAACUUUAACAUAUUUCUCGAUUGAUAACAAUGUCGCCUUUAGUAACAUCACUGCCCUAGAACCGUGUCACAUAAAAGGAACUCACUAGGUGUCGAUUAGUUAUGAAUAAAAGUAUUAUAUACUACCUGAUAGAUUGUUGUAAUUUGAAUCCUCUAUAUAUUGCAAUUAAUGUCUCAAAUCAUGCUCCUUUUAAGAUAAUUUAUUGUUGAUGCAUAUAUGUGUACACAAUCCAUUGGACAAACAAUGUUUUAUAUGUACAACACUACAAACCAGUUGUCGAUCAUUAGUUAUACUAGCCAUGAUUCUUAAAGGAGAGAAGAUCCAGAGAUCAAUGAUAGAUGGAAAAGUAAAAAAGAAACAAAAAGAAGAAAACGCAUAAAAAGAGAAUUGAGAGUGAAGGACAUAUAGCUGAAUCUAUAGUUUAAUUUUCUAUAAAUUGAUAAUUAAUUAUAGAAGUUGCAUGUGGGGGGUCGGGUUAGGUCGAGCGCAUGGAGAAGUGUCGUCAUAAUAUUGCAUGCUCUAUAUAUUAUAUAUAUACAUGCUAUGUUGAUACAUUAUUCUCCCGUACGUUCAUGGUACUGCAAAAACAGGUCGAUAAGUGGAUAUAGAGGCAAAAUCUCAUGAGCCAUAUGGGCAUGCAACAAUGUUACUGAAUAGACUAGGUGUGGUCAUUGAUACAUGAUUCUCAUACCCAGUAUUUAAUACCCAUACAUACGUAAGCUCAGGACAACCACUACUUAAGUUACCAACUGAGCAAGUAAUUAAUGAUGCUACGCGAAUUAUUUGCCACACCUUACAUGGCUUUGGUGCUCGACACGUGCCCUUCUCCUUUUCCAUCUAUAACACUAACACGCGACACAGCACGUACACUUUUAUUAGUUAAUUUCUCGUCUUAACGACCACACGAAUAUACAUUUAGUAUUAAUAGGCGAAAAAUGACAUUAAUUUAAAAGGCACUCAUGCAAGUACAUUACAUGGGGUAUCACUUUAAAAUUUUUAGCUUGUGAGAAUGCACGGACACUUGUUUAAUAAGAUUACAAUAAUUCUUGAAGGAGCUUAUUAGAGAUGCUGGGAAUAUAUGAGCAAAUCCCUAUAUUCGUCAUCAUCUUACACACUCACAUGAUGUGUUAGUCGCCAUGGCCACUUUUCACCUAACACUUAUAAAUAAAUGUAGCUAAGCUAGCUAGUACUUUAAUGAGUGGGAAAUGUUGCUCAUCGAUCUUUUAGUGUAGUCACAAAAAAAAAAAAAAGGUCUAAGCGUUAACUACGGCAUGAUCAGUGCAUCUAUGCUUUGAUAGUCGCGCUUGGUUUUAAUUGGAUGGAUCUAAUCUUAUGAUCCUUAUUAAUUAAUUUAUUUGUUAAGGUGUGGGUAUGUGGUGCAAUAAGAGGAGAGUUAUGUGAGCGGGGGGUAGGGCGUGGUUCGCUCGAACGAAGCACGAGGCGAAUCGAUGCAUGGGGUCGGAGAGAGAGGGGGCACGCGCGUCCUACGUGCACGUGAUCUGGUGCAGGAAUCGGGCUGACGUGGCGAGAGCCCAUUCGUCCUCUGGGUUCUCUGAAGGAUAAAUUAUUGCACGCACAUGGUGCAUCCGUACAGUUCAUAUACCGCCCUAGAUAUUUAACUAUUGGUGCCCUAAAAUUCAAGGAUAACCAUGGAUACCUUAUCUGAACUAUGUGCCAUUUUAAAUUUACUAUUUAAUUUUCAAAAUUUUGACUCCAUUAUUCAAUAUUUUAAUUUGUUUAAUUUCGGUGAGUCAAUUACGCUUUAACUUUAAAUUUAGUAGUAUAUUUCAUACAAUUCUUAUUAUUAUAAAUUUAUGAAAUUAAAAAUUAGUUUAAAUUUAUAAAUUAAAAUUUAUUCAUCGACUCAAAUCAAACAAAUUAAAAAAUCAAACAACAUAAUCAAAAUUUUUAAAUAUAAAAUAAUUAAUUUAAAAUGAUCUAUAAUUUAGUGUAGAAGGUAUGAAUGAGCUGAGUUCCAAUAGGCUCGAAUUUGCUGAAGGAUGGCUCAAACUCAAUGCAAGCUUAAAAAGGGUGAUUUCUGACUUAGACUCACCAAAGUUUUGAGCUAGCUCAAACUCGGCUAGUUGGUUCUUUGAUAAGUACGUCUUAGUUCAGUCUAAAACAGUUAAAAAUAAAAAGAAAAAUUUUCGAGCAAGACUUGAGUGGACCGAGUAAAUCUCAAGCUCGUCUUGUUUAACAAAUCAAACUUGAACCCUCGCUCGAUCCCUACUUAAUUAAUAAAUGGAUGAGCUCGAUCUGGGGCACAAAUUAGCAAAGCUCACAAUCUAUGAUCUUUUUCGACGCUCCUACGUGUAGUAUUCAUAUUGCCUAUGUUAAAAAUAUAUAUAACUACUAGCUAGAAAUAUAUUAUAUUGAUUUAUCAAAAAUCAACUAUAAAGAAUUAAUAGUAGUAUUGCUUGAUAGAAAUUUUUUUUUUUCUAAAUUUAUAAGUUAAAUUCUGAAUUUAAGGCCUUAAUUACAAAUUUUAAUGGUACAGUGUACGGUGCACCGGGCGCAUGCAACAGCAUCUGAGCCAAAAGGGCAGGGCCCGGGUGGGCCCCAACGUCGUGCACCAAUGUCGGUCUCCUUUUGUGGGCGGUUUUGGUCGUGACAGGUGUCGCCGUCUUAGCUUUUGAUCAUAAACGCAGCAUAAAACGAACGGUUGGAUGGAAUCGAGGAGGUGGGUGGGGCCACCGGUUCUGGGCAAAUUUUUGAAAUGGACGCUUAAUGGAUUGGAGUGGGGCCCACGUGUUGUCGGUUAUGCGUGGUCGAGUUUUGGGGUCACCGUCACGGGUGCGGAUGUCGAUCUCAACCGAUUUAACCGCCAAGAUGAUGGCUGGCAAUGUCCGAGUCACCGUGGGGCCCAUCCACUAUCCUCUUCUUAGAUAGUGUGGGGUUAAUUACUCCUAACUUGGACAAAUUAAAUGCUCAAAUAUGAUGUUAAAUUGUUUAAAAUUUUUAAAAUUUAAAAUUUAUGAUUGUUUUAUACUAUUUGUCUAAUAAUCAAAAUAAUUUUCUAUCUAUCUAUCUUAUAUUAGUUGUAAAAAAUAAUUAAUUUUACAAGCACUUGAAUACUACGCAUAUAAUAAUUAAAACACUAUAAAAUUUGAAAUAUAUGUAGAAAGUUUAAAUAGUCUAAAUUAAGUUUAACAAUGCUUAAUUAUUGUUGAUCCGGAUGCUCCAGUGUCAAAAACGAGGCAAAAAUAAAUGCAGUUUUUUUUUUAUUUGGAGAGAUAGGUAGCACACUAUCCGCUUCAUUAAUUAAACAAAAUGAACUAAGCUUACAGCAUGAUAGCAACCAGAGCUUCCGAAAAAAGAAAGGCAAAGACAAGCAUUAGAGAAAGAAAAAGACAAAAAGAAAAGGGAUAAAAAGAAAGGAAAUAAAGGAAAAAAUCGGUAGUCCGAUAUUAGUCAAGUUUACUCCAAGUGGACAGAAGAAGUUGCACGCGCUCAAGCGAUUGGUAGGGAUUGGGGUAUUUCGCCUGGAAGAUGAAGUUGUUCUUCAGUCCAAACCACCCACCAAAUAGCCGACAAAAGAGUUAAGUCUUUUUUCCUUUUCCCAGUGUCCUCAAGAUUAAAGGUCCUUCCCCACAGUUCUCGAGCUUCGUCGGAGGGCGCAGGAAGAAUUGUUGACCCAUCCGCACGAAGGAUUAGGAAUCUGAAAUGUACGCAGUUACAGAAAAGAUAGUCGUAGUUUUUUACUUACGGAAGUAUCUAGUCUUGUUCAAUUAAAUAUACUAUUUUUCCUUUUCUCUGUUCUUAUUUUUUUAACUAUUUCUCCUAGCUAUAACUUUGAAUAGAAACCCAAAUCAAUUUCUUAAUCAGGGAAGAAUAACUUCUGAGAGAGGUAUUCUACAAAUCAAACUUAUAGAAAAUUUCUACACACCUCGUGAUUAAUUAUUUCUGUCAUCCACCUAGCAAAGAGAUUAUUUUAUAGUUUUCUUAUUUACAUAGAGAAAUUUUUUUGUUAUUAAUUGGCAAUAUUGUACAAAUAUAUUGUUAGUUAGUUGAAUGUAAAAUAAUGUUUUUUUUUUCUAAAAAAAAUCAAGUAUAUAUAUUAUGCUGAUCAAGUGUUAUUAUAUAUCUAACAUGUUGAAAUUCUUGUAAAAAUAAAUUUUUCACAUGAUAUUAGAGAUAAAGUCCUGAGUUUGGUUUCUUUACAGAUGCUUACUUUGAUAAGCAGUUUGCUUUCUACUACUUUUUAGGCAUGCGAUGAAAAACUUGGUAUCCACCUCCGCAUUACUUGCAAAUAUAUCUUAAAAGAUACUUUUCGGAUUAUAUCAUGUACGCAUGAGUGAUUUUGAGCAUAGAAGACGAAAUUCCUAAUCCACAUCAAGUAGUGGCACGCAUGAGCCAAUAAACUCACAUGAGUUGCAUGUCUUAACUUAUGCUGUACGUGUUGUACGAAUGCUAGUGCAAAAUUGCCAACUACACCAACUAAAGAGACUAUUCUUAUAUAUAGCUUUUACGAAUUCAAUAUAAAGAAGGGUAAAAGUUGUUAAGGUGUUGUAGAUAUCGCAAUUCUAAUCAUCCUACUUUAGAAAUUUAAUGGUUUAGCAACGAAAAGAACUGCAUGAAGAAUUUGAUCAGUAUCCUUAUAAAGAAGAAGAAUAAGAAGAAGAAGAAAUACAAAAAAAAGCACUUUGGAGCACAACUAGGUUAACCCAGUACAUAUAUUCUUUGUUGAUUAUAUUCACUAGAUAUUCCAUGUGGAGAGGUUGUCUCUGACUAGAGUUAAAUUGUGGUGCACCUCACUUUGGGUCCCAUUCAAAGUGAAUUUGAACUUAUCUGCAAUAUGUAGCUACACAAAAAGCCAUUAAAUUUAAGAAUCCGGAUCUUUUUGUUAUCCUUGUCAUGGUCUAAAAGUUAUUAAUUAUUAAAAAGAAAAUGAGGGACAGGUGUAAGGUGAAUAAAAAUUAAAGGACCUUUAUUUUCUUUCGACUAAAGUUUGGUUCUAAAUUACCAACUGUUCCUAGAGCAAGUGGCAAAGGGUUUGGUGAUUGGUACCCGAGGUCCCAAGUUCGAAUCCUAGUUGAUUCACAUUUCUAGCUAAGUUUAUUUCUAAAUGAAAUAAACGAAGUGGGUAGCAUGCUAUCUAUCUCUUUCUAAAAAAAAAAAAAAAAAAAAGGAAAGAAAAAAAGAAGAAGAAGUUUGGUUCCAAAUUCAGCAUCACCUUAUUUUUACACUAGGGUACGUGUACAAUAAUCUACUUUUGCACUCUUGUGUUACACAGUAUAUGUCAAAUUCCUGCGCACUCUUCACCUCUUAACAAACCACGCACAAAAUAAAGAGAAAUGCUAAGUCUGUUGGAAAAACUUUCUGAUCUUUUAUUAUAAUAUUCUUUAAAAACCAAUUCGAAAAUUUAAUUACAGGUUUAGAAAAAUUCCGAAACGAAAUUAACUAACAAAUACGGUAAAUAAAAGGUUUAGAUAAAGCCAGUAGAUCGAGGCGUGUAGAGCACUGUUCUAGAAGCGAAAUUAUCCCUCCACGUGCGAGGCUUCCUGGCAAUUAUUCCUAGCGAUACAACAAUCACGUUCCACCUCGUCGGCACGCCUCCAAGGUGGCGCAAGACGAACCCAACUAGCUUCAAAUCCAGCAAAAAAAAAAUCGGCGAAAACCCAGAAAGUAAAAAAAGAUGAGAGGCUUUAGGUAUGCUCGGGUUAUUAAUUAACUCGUGUAAUCUCGCCCCAUAUUUAUAACCUAGGCGACGCCCGGCUCGGCUUGUGUAAUCUCGCUUCAUAUUUAUAACCUAGGCUAGGUGACGCCCGGCUUGGCUUGUGUAAUCUCGCUCCAUAUUUAUAACCUAGGCGACGCCCGGCUCGGCUUGUGUAAUCUCGCUCCAUAUUUAUAACCUAGGCGACGCCCGGCUCGGCUUGUGUAAUCUCGCCCUAUAUUUAUAACCUAGGCGAUGCCCGGCUUGGCUCGUGCUCGUGCCGUGCGUGAAUUUAAACGAAAGUAUUACUAUUAUUUUCUUCUAAGUAACUAGCUUGAGAAUAAAGCAAUAUAUAAAGACCACAAAUGUCGUUUUGGUUUCCAAUGUAGGACUAAACAUCUCACAUGAAAAUUUUAGUUGGGUUCCCUAAACGGCCCAUUAACAAUUGUUGGGCUCUCAAGAGACUUUAAUAAGUUUUAAAUUAUAACAAACCCAAUAAAAUCCAAUAAAGUCUACCACCCAAAGGGGUUGUAAUCCAUAUAAUUCUUAAUUGUAAAAUUUAUCAACUUCAUUAACAAGACAAGUAGGAAAAAAAAGAAGAAGAAUAUACAGUUGGAUUGGAAAGGUUGUAGGAUUACAAUUCUUCUGUAACCCUAGCUCUCCUUAUAGACACCCCCAAACUUUUUCUCUUUUGCAAAGAGGUUCCAUAACUUUCAAUUUCAAAGAAUAACUGGCUGAACUUCACUGUACCUUUCGAUCGACUCCUACCGUUUGCUCGGCAUAAAAAAAACUGAUGGAGAUCGGCAUACACAGCAGUCGCAUGUGCUACUUUUUCCUCCUUUUCAUCUCCAAAUGAGGCUCAAAGUUGAUAUAUAUAGAAAUGAAUAAAAUUAACAUAUUCCUGUAAAUACUUGCUCUAACUUCAUAUAAACUUAAUUGUGCUAUGUACAUCCAAGAUUAUUUGCUCCGUAAAUACAAAAGUUCCAUCCAAAUGCAUAUAGCAUGUUAAAAAAAAGGAUCAUUAUCAAAUAUUUACUUAUUCCAUACAAAGAUAAAUAAAAAUUCAACACUAUCCAUGAGGUUACCUUCAUCGUGUUAGAAUUUGAUUAGAUUUAUAGUUAAUACUCUAGUUGGAGAAAAAUUAAUAUUUAAAUCUAUUGGAGGUAAAUUAAGAUUUAAAUAUUAAUUAGAGUAUAAAUCUAACUAGAUUAGAAUAAAUAUUUAAAUUUAUUGGAGAUUAAUAAAAUAUAAAUGUAAAUAUUAAUUGGAAUAGAAAUUCUAAUUAUUUUAGAAUUGGGCUACGUUCUGCUGGAGCUUUAUAAAUAACUCCUCAUGUUAAUUAGGAAAAAUUCUAGAAUGCAACGGGUAUAUUAGUGACGUGGCAUAACAAACCAAUCAAAUUAAUUUUUUUAAGAAUAUAUGUCCCAUCAUGAUUAUGAAAAAGUAUUUUUAUUGUACUUUUGUUUGAAAAGAAGGAAUGUGAUUGGCUUGUUAUUGAUGGUAUGGUGCAAGUGUGACAGUGUAGAAUUCCUCGUUAAUUAGUGGUUGUCUCCGUGGAGUUGCAUGGCUGAAGUUUCAAAGAAAUAGUAUGGUCAAGGUUGGCGCUCUUUGACGGGUAAAAUGGCUGAUGUGUCUUGAAGCCAUUAGUGGACCGUACCAAAUGGAAGCUUGGUUAUGAUUGCAUCCAUCUAGUGUACGGAUGCAUGUGAGAAAAAAAAAAGGGUUGUCUUUUAGAUUUGUAGAAGACGAGAGAAGGGUGGAAAAGAUUUAGAAAUUAAGAGGGCUCGGGUUGUAGCUAUUCUAUACAAGAAAGGAGUCAGGUGUAAUCUUCUUUUAGUUAAUAAAUCUUAUUUUACCCGCAUAUUUUCUAUUUUAAUUUUUCUUUCUUUUAUGAUUGUAUCAAAUUUUGCUGAGGAGACAGGUUUACGGUAAAAAUUCGAUUCGACACUUCCGUUGCAGAAUCCCAACAUUCGGUACUAGAUCAAUAACAGUCGGUAUUGGAGCGGGUUGCAAAUUCUCAAAAUUCGGUAUCAUGGCGAGUACCGAAUUCCCAACACAUCGUCCCACAAAGAAGAAGAGGCUUAUAUAUUUUAUAUAUAUUCUCCACUAUUUGGCCUAGAGCAGAUCACACAUUGCCACACUUGCUAAUCUAUGUUAAUUCCUUGAGGCCAAGCAGAUGAAACAAUCACUACAACAAAAACGGUGUAUAGCAACACUUUUAAAUGUCGGUACAGAUCAAAAAAUAUACUGCUGGUUAAAUUACCGACACUUUUUAAAAGUGUUGCUAUAUGUGGAGUCGCUAUAUGUAGGGCCGCUUUGAUAUUUUGCACCCACUCCUCCAGCGACCUGUAACGGAGGGACACGCGGCGAUCGUAACCUUAUACGAUCCCUGCGAAAUCCUUGCGACUAAACUCCAGCCGUCGGAACAUGGUGAUCGUAACCUUUUACGGUCCCUGCGGUAGUCAAUUUUUCUUUUUUUUUUUUAUUUUUCUAUUUGUAAUUGGGCCAAGUGAGCAGGGUGGAGUUGGUCGAGUAGAGAAACUUUUUGUUUUUUAUUGAAUUGGGUUUUAUAUUUAGGCCUUAAUAUAUUUUUUAAAAAGUUUUGAUAUAAAUGAAACACUUACACAAAAGUAUUUCAAAAAUGUGUUGUUAUAAUCAAUGUAAUAGAUAGUAAAACAUAAUAAAGUCUAGGAGGUUAUUUCCCAAAGUUGAAAUUUCAAUAGUCCUGUUAUAAAUGCGGGGAAGUUUAGGGGUGUCUAUACAUUUGACCCAGAUAAAAAUGGGGAACUUCGCAAAAUGCCAAGUUGAGGACAAAUUUUAAGAUUGAAAUAUUUUACAGGAUCUCAUGUUAUCGAAAUAAAUCUUUGUUCAAGAUGAUCUUCAAAACUUAAUUUCCUUCGUAAAGCAACAAGUGUACAACAAUAUGCAAUGGACAUGCGUACCUGUCUAGCUCAUUUUUUAACUAUUUUUUAACUAAAAGGACAAAAUAGUAAUUCAAGUUGCAUGGUAUAAUAUUUAGGCUAAAUUACAGAAAACCCUCCUGUAAUAACCCGCUUUUUCACUUUCCCCUCCUGACAUUUAAAAACCUACACUUUGCCCCCUUGUAAAAUGAAAAAUAUUCACAGGGGGGCCACGGUGUGUAAAAUGACCAUUUUGCCCCUCGCCAUUGUUGUCUUCUUCCUGAGCUUCCUCAGCCGCCCCUUCGAUCCGCCGCUAUUUCCACCUCAAUCGGCCACGAUUCCUCUCCAAUUUCUUCUCCACCUGCUCCCCUUCUCCUCCUACACCGUCGCCGCCCAUCGAUUUCGGCGACAGUAGGGAGGAUACUAAGAUGGGUGUUGAUGGAGAGGUAGGCAGGGACAACGAGGGCGAAGGCGAGGUGGCGGAGGAGGAAGAAAGGGAUGUGGGCGAGGGCGAAGCAGUGGAGGACGGCGAGGCGGCGAGGCGGCGAAGCGGCGAGCCGGAGGGAGCGAAGCAUCAGAGAAGAGGCAGAGGGGUAUUUUCGGUAUAAAAAAAUAUUUUUUAACAGAACCCCUAACGGAACCCUAACGGUAGGGGUGAAGUGCACAUUUUUCAUUUUACAAGGGGGCAAAGUGUAGGUUUUUAAAUGUCAGGAGGGGAAAGUGAAAAAACGAGUUAUUACAUGGGAGUUUUCUGUAAUUUAGCCUAAUAUUUAAAAGGACAAAAUAUUAUAUAAUCAUUUUGAUGCAUGGUAUGAAGGUUCUUUCAUAAUUGAAUAAUAAUUUAUAGGAUUAAUUUCAUACUUAUCCUUCUUCAACUCUUAAUUAUACAGAAACUCCUCUAAAAGUAUCAAUAUAAAAAAUAUUCCUUUUAUUUAGAGAACUUAAUAGUUUACUAGUCUAUUAGUUUACAAACACGAAAAAGAAAAUGAUAACCGACCGUUUCUGACACAAGUGACAAAUUAAGGAGUUAAUGAUUGAUACCCAAGAUCCCAAAUUUAAAUCCUAGUUGAUUCAAAUAGAGAAAUUCUUACGCACCCUAAACAGGGUGCCUAUAUAGAGAGAGAGAGAGAGCUACAUACGCUCUCGUACUUUCAAAAGUACGUAGCUUUGUGGACUUGUAAAUUAAUUUUGACGAUAGAACAUUCGAUUCGACGAUCGAUUCCAUUAGCUAUGAUUUAUGGUGUUGAUGCCUAUAUAUAUGUAUGUAUGUAUCUUCGACGUUCUAAAAAAAUAGUAAUUGAUGGAUCGACUCAAUUAUAUAUCUGGUUAAUUAGGGUGACAUUUCUCUAAAAUCCGUGACUGUGACGAUCACUACUAGCUAGUGUGGAGCGAUGCACAUGAUCAUGCAAGAAAUCAUCACACAACUAAUUAACAUGUUACAUAUAUGUUAAUGAAAAGUAAAAGUACUAUAAAGAUGACUUUACAAAAGUAAACAAAUCAUUUAGAUCGAGUCGUGCUAAAUUUGUUUCAUUUUCAUCAACUUUUAUCGUGACAAUUUAAGAUCGAUAUUGCUAGUGUAGGAAGUAAGCGAAUGAUCAUGUUAAGAGUUUGGUUAUCCUCGUAGGCUUAAUUAGUUUGGUAUUAAAAUCUAUACGUUAUUAGACUAAAUGAAGUUAGGCAAAAAUAUAUAGAAAUAUGCUUCUGCGUUUUUUGGUUGGACCGUAGAAAAUAUAUCAUAACUGACUCAUCGCGAUAUGCGAAACGUAAUAUUACAUAUGAAAACAAACAUAAUAUUUUUUUAUUGUACUUUUUCAUCACACAUAGCGCAAUCUUCUCGUAAGUCUAAACGAAACUUUAAAAGUCACCCCUGGAAUGGUGGUCAUAUAUUUGACCUAAAAGUUGGUACACUUUGUUUUUUUGACUCAAAAGGAUAAGAUCAUUGGAGGCUAUUGGUAGGGUAGGAAUAUUCAUAAUGCACCUAUAUUGUUCUUUUAAAAGCUACAAUGGAUAGCUCGAAAUACACAAGAUUCUUAAAGAAAGCCAUGUAGUCACUCCCUUUGCUUCUUUCUACCACGACCUCUCAUUUAAAGAGAAACCCUCAAAUCCUUGUUUUUCUACAGAAGUCACGAGGCUCCCACCAUACUCUGACUCUCACAUGCACCACCAAGCGUGAAUCAUAUAUAUAUAUAUAUGCACGUACACAUGAAAGGUUGUUCUAUACUUACGUACGUACACGUGCCUUGCAAAUUUUGUGACUGGUCAAAUAUAUUACUUUUCAACAUAUUCUCUCUCUUUUUCUUUAAAAAAAAAACAUAUUCUCUCUGGCCAUGUUUGAUUGGGAAACAAGGAUUGAGAAUAAGGGAUUAUUCCCCCUUGUUCUUCAAAUACUAUUUUUAAGAAUGGUGUCAGGCAGGGGUUAUUCCCCCUGCCUGACACCUCUCCUUGUCUUGAUCCAGUUCGUCGGAUCGCACAAACAACCACAAAUUUGAUGGCACCUUUUAUUGAAAGAUUUAGUGAUUUAAAGCCUCAUUUUGUUACGCUGCAUGCACUCUUGUUCUUUUAUUGCUCAAACAAAUCUACGUGAAUGAUCAAUUAAUGUUCCGAUGAAUGUUGAAUUAAUUAUCUGUAAUCUUUACGUCUACAUAUUUGUUUUACAACAAAAAGUAAUUAUUAUAGUUUUUUUUUUAAUAGAAAUUUAUGGUUCACAAGACAACAAGAACAGAAGAAGUCUAAGCCAAUUUGCACCAGCAUGAACAGAAAACUUCUAUCCUUAUAAAUACAUAAAUAAUUAAGCAAACAAAACGGAAAGGCCGAAAAAUAGCCUUAAUACCCAACUCACAAGCGCGAUGAAUAUCAGGUACUUAAACAUAGAACUUUGAAAAUAUAUGUUACCGAAAGAUUGAUUUGAUAGUAAAUGGUCCAGAGAAUAGUAUAUGUGAACGUACAAAAAAGAAGCAAAAGAAACUUAAAUAUAUGCCUUUGUCAUGUUAAAUAUUCCUUUCGAUGAUGUUGGAUUCUUUCUUCUUUUUUUUUUUUCCUAAAAAAAGGAGACGUCGUCGUUAAGAUGCGAGAGUAUACAUUAAUUGGCUUGCUUUUUUAAACUUUGUGGGAUAGAUUCUUUAGAGACGGGGUUUUUACAAGACACCACGUUGCAUGCUUCUACCUGUGCAUGGGGAAUUUUUUGAACGUUCCAUUAAUAAUUAACGCUGCGUUGAUCACAUGCUUCUUAAUUUUUAAAAUUAACCCUGUUUCUUCCUCAAUUAUAGGUCAAAAGGCGUGCUUUUUUGGUGAUUCAUCUGGUGGAUACUAUAUGUUUUUAAAAAGAUAAUUCUUACUUUUUUUUUUUGGAUAAAUUACACUUUCGGUCUUCAAACUAUGAUGUGUGUGACACGUUGGUCCUCAAACUGACUCCAAUUUUUUGAAUUGUUGCAAUCAAAUUUCACAAACUAAUUUAGUUGGUUAAAUAUUGACAAAUUAUUAAUGUAAAAGUAAUAUAGAAAUGUUAUAAUUGAUGAUGCCAUAUCAAUUUUACGUACAUCAACAACUUGUCAAUAUUUACCCAACUAAAUUAGAUAUUAUGGGACUUGAUUACAGCAGUUCAAAAAGUUUGAGUCAGAAAUUAUACCUUAUUAAAAUUUAAGAAUCAAAAUGUCACACGCCUCAUAAUUUGAGGACCAAAUUAAAGUGUAAUUCACCCCUUUUUCUUUUAUGUUCCUCAUUCAGAGAGACUCUCUCUCUCUCUCUCUCUCUCUCUCUCUCUCUCUCUCUCUCUCUCUCUAUAUAUAUAUAUAUAUAUAUAUAAUGCGACAUGAAUCUUUUGUUAUAAAAAUAAGGUCCUUUCCAUUAGUGUGCAACUAUCCCGUUACUAACUAAUAAAUAUUCGUGUUUAUCUACUCACUACUCAUUUGGGUUGUUGAGCUAGCAUAAGAAGGUCAAGCCCUAGAAAUUUGGAACCAAUUAAAAACUUUAUACUAUAGUAGCCAAUGAACAAUAGACAACAAAAACAUCAUUCAUGUGGACUAGAAUUAUAUAUAUAUUUGUUCUUUAAUGACCUUGAUUUUGGAUUUCUCAUAUAUAAAAAUUUUUGGUUACUUCAACACUAAUCACUUGAUUGGUGGUCAAAGUGUUAUUUAAUUAGUUACGGUCGUGUUUGGGCAUUUUAUAUGAUAAUAUGAUAUUGAUCACGAGAGCCUAAGACGAUAUUUUGGUUGGAAAUUAAGCUGUGUGACAACGUACGCAAUCAACAUUUGACUAGAAAAAUGAAACUAAUAGCACCCAUCAUUUUGUUUAAUUAAUCAAAGCUAAAUAUAUAUUUUGUUACCUAAGUAACUAGCUUUUAUGUAAAUUAAUAAUAGCUUUAGACCUACUUAAGCGAACUCUACUACUUUAAUUGCUAUGUAGGUGGGACUAAAUUGGAUGUUUAUACGUUGGGAAACCAAUCAAGAGUGAUUAGUAUGGUCUAUUUAAAAAAAGUCCUUCAAAUAUAUAUAUGUAUAUAAAAGAAAAUUCAUCGGUACUGUUGUAACACGUGGUCAAAUUAACCCGAUUUACUUUUAGACCGCAAUUAAUUUGGUCACAAUAAUCAAGUUUAAUUGGACCUUGUUACAAAACUUCUUUGCAACGCACCUACAAUAACACUUCUGCAUAAGCUUACUUUUGGAGAUUGACCUCCUUGAGCCCAAUAAAGCUUUUACGAAAGUAUUGUUUGAGCAAAAUUAAUUGUUCGAACCUCCAAACAUGUUUUCGUUCAAGGAUUUUCGUAGCUUCUCAACAACAUGUGAUUCAAACUAAGACUUCGUUUGAAAUUGCAGAGAGAUUGCAUUACGUACGGUGAGAAAAUACGAUAGGAAAAUAUCCUGUUUGUUUCCGUACGUAAUAUUGCGUUUCGCAUAUCACGAUGAGUGGGUUACGAUAAUUUUUCUGUGGCCCCACCGGAGAUUACAGAAGUAUAUCUCUAUAUACUUUUACAUCAACUCCAUUUUAUCUAAUAGCGUCAGAUAGACCACAAUACCAAACCAAGACUAAGGCUAGCUCGGAUUUUGAUAACUAAAAUCUUAUUUUAAUUUUCAACCAUGCACAGUUAGAAGCUCAAAUUAUUAUUAUUUUUAAUUAAAAGCUUGUUUUGUAUCUCCAUUUCACAUCGAGAAUCAUGACAAAAACUCGGAGUGUAGUACCAUAAAGAUAUAUAUGCGGACUAAGGGCCAUUUUAUUAAUGAUCAAGCUUAAGCUUUUGGGGCUAUCGUUUGGACCUAACAAGUUAUUAAUUUUGCUGCACCAAUAGAAUUAGGAUUUUAGUUGCCCAGCCCACGUAGUACAUGCAUUCGACCACACAAGACCAAGCCGGGUCGAAUCUUGGUCCGGCCCUCCAAAGAAGGCCCAAUUUGCGAAAAAAAGUCCAAGUUGAAAAUAAGAAUUCUAAAAAACUUAUUUAUUUUGUAACUAUAAGUAACUAUUUAGUAGUACUGAUCUCUGUGGCUACAUGAUGAUCAAGUAUCGAGGACCAUUUAACACUAUUAAACAACACGGAAUUAGAAAAAGGUAUGCAAACAUAUGCUUUUUCAUUUUUCAAUAAAACUAUAAAAAAUAUAUUGUAAUCGGCUCAUUACGAUAUAGAUCACAUAAUAUUACAUACCGAGUUCAUUUUACUUUGUUUUUUUUUUUUUCUGGAUUCCUCAGUUAGUUGGAGUCGGAGCUUUUAAUUUCUUUUUUUUUUUGAGAAAAUGGAGCUUUUAAUUUCUAACCGGAGCCCAAAGUGUGAAAAGAGAGAAACUCGAGUGUACGAAGAAGCAAUAAUAAUUUGGGCCUUUAUUGGGUCGGUUCGGCCCUGAGAUUUAAUUGGGCUCAUUAAUUUCAGCCUAUUUAAUUAUAGGGCCGUGGUUUGUAUCCAAGCCCAAUUUCACGGCUCGACCCGACCCACUCCGGUCCAAAGUCCCGGUUCAAGAAAACCGAAAAUAAUACCGGUUCAAGGUACAAAAGUUAGUACAUCGCUGAAGCUUGCGAGAUCGAGAAACUCUGAAUAAAGAAGGCGAGGCGAGGAAGAAGACGAAGAGGGAGAGAUCGAUCGAAAAAAAAAAAAAAAAUCCGGAAUAAAUCCCUCGCAUUUUUUUUGCUCUCCUAUUUUUUUCCAAAAAUAAGUCGAAGGAUCGGAUCCUCUCCUCUUCAAUUCUUCGCCUUCCUCACUCGUCCUCGAUCGAUCGAUCUCUUGUUCAGAAACCCUAGAGAAUGGAUAAAAUCUUCGCCAAGCUCCGGAACCUGGACGCGUACCCUAAGAUCAACGAGGAUUUCUAUAGCAGGACCCUUUCCGGGGGCAUCAUCACCAUCGUCUCGUCCGUGAUCAUGUUCAUCCUCUUCGUCUCCGAACUUAGUGAGUGAUUAAUCGCGCCGUUCUUUUGUUUCUGACUUUUUUAUGUUUCGUGUGCGUGGAUGGGUAGCUGUAGGUUGGUUCUUGGGUAUAUCUCUGUUAUUUGGUGAUUCUCUGCUUGUAUUUAUUGUAAUCGUGCAAUGUUGAUUGGUUGAAUAGGCUAAUCACUCGAGUUCUUGAUAGUGGGAACGGAAUGUUGUUUGAAUUUGUUAUGGUUAUUUAAACCUGCUCUUUAUUUGCUAUUCAAAUAUCUCUUUAGCAUGUAAGGGGGCAUAAGGUUUCAUGAUAUCUGUGGGGCACGUGCAAAUCUUUAUCGUUUUAUGCUUGAUAGUUAAUAAUGGGGUUCACAGAGUCCUCGAUCCCACGAACCUGAGCAAGAAUUAGAGAGGAGCAAAGUUAGAAGCUGUAUAAGGGCCGUACGCUUAGGCACGGGAGGUGGAGAUGUUAAUUAUGGCGGUAAAGUAUUUCCCGGCAGAGGAUGGAAAGUGACUAGAGAUAAGAGAGAUAAAACAGGAAAUAAAGUAGGUCAAAGCGUCGGAGAAGAAAUAACUAAUUUAUACUCAUAAUGGACUACUGUACAUCAUCAGUUUCAUCUCAUGAGUCCCUUUUUUUGGCAAUUUGGCACCUAACAGUUCUAAAAUAGUCUUAUAAUCUGAAUAAAUAUGUCUAUUAUCACUAGCGUUGUUAAUGUGAAUUUCUUUCUUUGUUUCUGCAGUAUUUACAUUUGAAAUUUAGAAAAAUUAUUAGUGAUUGAAGAUGAUGUUUAAUUUGAUCGAGUGGCUAAAAAUGCCGGGGACCGAGAGGUUAUUGGCUGGGUGUAAGGCAUAAGGACUAACUGUACCUUUUGAUUGAAAUGACAGAAACAUUUAUUCAUGUAUUAUAGCUUUUUUGACACUUAAAGAGUUAGGGAUUGGUGUUCAAAUAAAGGCUACGAUUUGCAACUGUUCGCUUGAAAACCAAUUGUGAUUGAUGGUUUUACUUUUGAGACUCUUUAUAUUUGAAGACAUAAGUUGAAAAAUUUUGAGAGAAGUCAAGAUGAACACAAAUAUUUUUGGCUUGAGAAUGUUAAUAUAGAAGAUAAUUUAUGUGAUUGACCUUAGGAAAGAGAUAAUUCAUUGGUGUUUAGUGUUUACGCAUGGAACCAAAGAAAUGUACCAGAGAACAAUGACCUCUUUCAGGCCUUCAAAAGCUUUUGUCCUUUCUAAGUGCUUAACCCUCAACGUCUAACUACAGCCUAUGCCCUUGUUUGGAUCAUUUAUGAGAACUCCGCAUUAAUGUUUGUUAUUUAUUUCUCUGUGGAUCUAUGCUCAUAUUUCUACAGAUGUCACAGCAUAUUUUGCUUCAUACUUCAAGCUGUCAUAUAUAUAUAUCACAUUUCAUCAUUUUUUUUGUUGCAGGAUUGUAUCUUCAUGCAGUAACAGAAACAAAGCUCGUUGUAGAUACUUCAAGAGGAGAAACACUUCGCAUUAAUGUAAGAAUGCAUCUUACCAAGGAAUUUUAUUUUAUUUUUUCUGAUGGAGACUUUUUGGUCCAAUUUUAGUUUUUCAGCUUGAUUGAAGAUCAACUUAUCUUUCAAAGCAGACAACUUCAAAGAUGUUUGAUAACUUUACAGCGAAACUUUCUUUUUAAUGUGUCAUGCAUGUUUAUUGGAUUUUUCCCCCUUGUUUUAUUACUUGACAAAUUACUUAAGUAGACUGCUCGAUUUUUAUUUUUUGUUGUCUCUUACUUAGGAACCUAUUUUGUUUCCUUUCUCUGUUUCUCUAUUACAUAUUUUCAUUCUGUUACUCGUCACUGCUCCUCGUACUUGUGUACAGAUCAUUAAUUUUCCAAUAUUGCUACAAUUGAAGCUCUUGUUUAUUAUUUACUCAUUUUGUUUCUUUCUAAAUAGUUAGUAGUAGUUUGCUUGGAAUCAUCAAGCUAUUUUUGAAUUUCUCAUUGUUAUAACUGAACUUCAUUUUGUUGCUGGUAAAGGAAAACUUUGCCAUAUGUUGCAAUCAAGCCCUAAAGUGAACAUCUGUUGGAUUCAGUGAUGGGAACUGAUGUGACAUCUCUAGAGCAAAUUGAUGUUACAUUCAAUCAGCUAUUUUUGGGAUGUUGUUGAAUUUUUUUUUUUUUCAAUCAUUUAGUAAGGACAUUCCAACCAACAUUGCAUAAUAGCCUCGUAAGAUCCUUAUCAGCUAGUGUGAGAAGAUGUCACACAUAAUUGGGAUGUAAUAUGAGCUUUCUUUUUGUUACAUAUUAGAGAAGUUCAUGAUUCGAUGAACCUUGUUACGACAAAUAAGGAAGUUUGAGCUAUUAGUUGCUGAUCAAAGAAUUAGUAGAAUUGGAAAUCCAAUUUCUUGUGCAGUUUCGAGACUUCUUUAAAAAAUUGACCAAACAUUCAUUGAUAUUUAUUGAUAUGUAUCCAUGUUGAUAUUGAAAGUCUUGUUUGAUUUAAUCUUGUCCAUGUUUCAAUAUUGGGAUUGCUGCUUGCUAAUCCCCUGCCCAUAUUUUCCAUGGAAACUGCAGUUUGAUAUAACCUUCCCAGCCCUAUCAUGUUCAAUACUCAGUCUGGAUGCAAUGGAUAUUAGCGGUGAAGAGCACCUUGAUAUAGUAUGUCUUUCAGCUAGAUCUGUUCUCUCUUCAUAAUUACAUAUCUAACCAACCAAUUUAUAUGCCAUCGAAGUGACUUUAUAUCUCACUGCAUUUUUUUUUUGUUUUUCUGUAGAAGCAUGAUAUAGUCAAGAAGCGGAUUGAUGCCCAUGGCAAUGUCAUAGAAGCUAGACAAGAUGGAAUUGGUGCACCUAAGGUAUUACAAAGCUGCCUAAAAAUGUGUUUUCCCUUAAUUUCAACUAUUUAAUUUCUUGUUAGCACCAUAUUAUUUUGCAUUGAUGCUUUGAGUGCGGAAAUUGGACACAGACAAUUUACCAAAAAAAGGACACAAUAAAAGAAGUUUCUCAAUAGAUUGAUGUUUUUAUCCUUGGAGAACUGAGAAAGCAUAUGGCCUACUUUUAUUCUUUUAUUCAUCUGUUUCUUUUACAUUCUUCAGAUAUGUCCAUAUCUUACUUACAACUUCUGACAGUACUUGUACCAACCUUCACAUUCAUCAUGCACCACACUAUUCUAAAGUCAGCUUCUUUGCAAAAGUGUGUUUUUGAGGCAAGCUUAACUUUUCAUGGUUGAAAAAAUGUAGAAAAUCUUUUCUUGCAUUAUCUAUACCUCAAACAGUUGGAGAUGGACGAAUUAGUUUCUUAGCAUUUUAGUCAAGUGGAUAGGUUCAGCAAGUAUACCAUUAAAUAUUAUUGUAUUUGGAUCACAAUCUUAGAUUGUACACCUUGCCAACAAAGCUCAAUUGGCUGUAUGGACUAUGGACAGUUUUAAAAAAAACCAUGAACUACUAAAUUGGUGGACUGAAAUUGCUACAAUAAAGAUUUACACCUGAAAUUGGAUGAGCCUAAUCGAAGGAAUGAAUCUCACUAUCUUAUGUAGGUGGAUCCUCAAGAAAUUCUUUGGCACUCUUAUAGUGUAGAGACAUAGAAGCAAAACGUUGACCCUGUUGAAUGAGCUAAGUGAAGUUUUCUACUUCAUAGAUUUACUCCCUUGUAGUUAAAUAACCUACUAUAAACUUUGAAGUUGGAUUAUCCGAUUAUAUUACCUCUUACUUGAUGUUUUAAUAUCAACAACCACAAGCAAGUUAAAUUUUGCAUGCCCUGUACUUUAGUAGCUUGUUUGAGUAGUGAAAAUUUUCUGUUGUGAAGUUUUGAAGUUUAUAUGUUAAUAUUUGCUGGAAGUUUACUUUAUACAAUGCAUGUUUUAUUAUUUUAACUCUCUGGCAGAUGGAAAAGCCUUUGCAAAAACAUGGUGGGAGGCUUGAACACAAUGAAACGUAUUGUGGUUCUUGCUAUGGUGCAGAAGUGGUAUGUAAUCCUGGUUCUAUUUUAAUAUUCAUUGUUUUAACAUCUGUUAUGCCUUUUUCAGUAGUACAAGUGGUAUCAUAUCUUGGGAUUGCUUUCUAUAUCAUCAUCUUAGGCAUUGCUUGGUAUUGAUGCUAUUCUUUUUUCACACAAAUUCUAUGCAAUGGAGUGUGGGCGGAUGGCAGAGUGCUUCCAAUAUAUACAUCUACUGGGCCUGCUGGCAAGAGAAAAAAAAUGAAAACACAAAAGUACCAUUUAUUCUCUUCCUUUGUUUAUUGAAUAUGCCUUUUGGUACCCAGCUGGGUUGCAUUGCAAGCUAACCAGUAAUGGCAAGAAUAGGGAAGUCCUCCUGUUGGCACAGCAAUCAUAUUGAACUUUUUGUUCAUAACAACAAAAAAAAAGGCAACAAUACAAAACAACGCAUGGCUCUAUGACUGUGCAACUUGGAAACAACACUUAGCUAUUCUUGACAAUAAAUUUCAGUACAGGGAGUAUUGGUGUGAUUCUUGUGGAAGUUGCUUGAGACGUAGUUGGCUAAAAAGCUGAUUGGAAAGUUAAGUACAAUAAUGGACAACGGGUAAUGAAUGCCUUUAUGUAUGCAACCCAAAUGAGCAAUGGAUGUCUUUUAGUAUGCACCCAAAACUUGUAACUAUGUGCAUAUCUCAUAAUAUUUGAUAAUUUUGAAAUCUUUAGUAGUUCAAUCCUAUUUUUGGUUUCUUUUGUGAGGGAAUAGUGAAAACAUUCAUCGCUAACCUCCCAUCCUCGUGCUUAUCUUCUCACUGUUCUAAAAUGCUGUCACCCGCAUAGGUGAAUGUCAUUGCUUGAUCGCUUCAAUAGUCCGCUUGUAUUUGUGGUGUACACACCUCAUAAUGGGUGCAUGAGCACCUUACCUCCUACCUCGCAUUAGAAGAAAUAUAAGGUUUAGCAUGGCAUGAUAUAUAGAAUGUUUAAUAAGUCAUCCAAAGUUCUAUAUUUUUCUUAUUCAUUUGAUUCAUCUGUGCCUUUCUUUUAUGUAUAAUAUUUUGUUACUGUAAUAUAUUAUUGUAUGUAAUUAUAUUUUGCAAAAUUCUUAUCUCAGUUAAUAUUAUUUGCUAUGACAGACUCUGAUCAGAUUUUCUUUAUAUAUAUAUAUAUAUAUAUAUAUAUAUAUAUAUAUAUAUAUAUAUAUAUAUUUUAGCUCCUUCAUUACUUUCACAAAAUGUUUCCUGGUUUAUUAUUGCUACUGUUGAAUCUAUAUAUCUUCUUAAUUUUGUUCCUCAUAUGCCAUGAACAUGCAAAUUGAUUUGCUUGUAGUCCGACGACGAUUGUUGCAACUCUUGUGAAGAAGUUCGUGAAGCAUAUAGAAAGAAAGGAUGGGGCCUCUCAAACCCGGAUCUGAUUGACCAGGUGUGACCAUAUAGAUGACAUGAUUUAUUUUUGCUUUUUAAGUGCCUUGCUUUAUAACUCUAUGAGUUUAUCCUCUCUGUAAUUAAAUGUUUUAUGAAAAUAUUCAAUUUUUCACGGGAAAGUUUAUGUUUAAUAAGUUUGCCUAGGUUUCUGAUAGUUACAAUGGCUUGAAAGUCACUGGAGUUCUUGUUGUAAUGUAUGAAUGUUCUGUCACUCAAACUGGUUCUUUCAGUUUGCACAAAGAUGUCAGUGUUGGCUAAAGUUGGGCCCACAUUAUGCCAUUAUCUUAAAGGCUUACUACCUUGUCUUGUAUUACAAUUUUCUCUAUGCAACUGCCUACGCCUGAGUUUCAUAUCCUAUUGGUUACUACUACAAACUGUAAUUACAUGACCAUCUAAUUGCAAGGUUUUUGUCUAUCAAAUCUUGAGCUAGUAUAUUUAAGAAAUUUAAUAAUUUUUACUCUCGACUCUGGUGUUGUAUAAUAGUGCAAAAGGGAGGGUUUCCUACAAAGAAUAAAGGAUGAGGAAGGCGAAGGAUGCAACAUCUACGGCUUUCUAGAAGUUAAUAAGGUUGCUGGGAAUUUUCAUUUUGCCCCAGGCAAAAGCUUUCAUCAGUCAAAUAUGCAUGUUCAUGACUUGCUUCCGUUCCAGAAGGAUAGCUUUAAUGUAAGCAAGUUUGGACGGAGUUGUGGCAGUGUACAUAAUUUCAUCGUUCACAGAUCAUUCUUAGCAUGCUUUGACAUAUUCAAUUUUCAUUUAUGAUGUUGCCAGAUUAGCCACCGAAUAAAUAGAUUAGCUUUUGGAGAAUAUUUUCCUGGUGCUAUCAAUCCUCUUGAUGGGUAACUUUGUAUUCCUUCUAUCUUCCUAUUUAUUUGCUAGUUACCUGUAUGCUCUUAAAUAGCUUUUAAUAUCAUAAAGAUAUUAGUGACUAUACACCUGAUUAUUGAAAUAUUUAGAGUGCAAUGGGUGCAACAAACACCAUAUGGGAUGUACCAAUAUUUCAUCAAGGUUAGCCGCCUCAUUUUCCUUCUUUUACUUAGUAGAAGUUAAAGUUAAGAUAUACAUGUGCUUGCUAAGCAGUCUCUUCCUGCAUAUGCCACUUCUUUCUUCUGCUGUCCUUGCAGAAUUAUGUAGUUGCCGAUGACUCUUGGAAGUUUUCAAAUCUUUCUCCUUGUCUUUUCCAGGUUGUUCCCACUGUCUACACUGACAUUAGUGGGCGUACUAUCCAGUCCAAUCAGGUAUAAAUAAGUAUUCCAUGGUAACUUCUGAUUCUGCAUUUACUUGAUUUCAUCAUCUUGUUAGAACUUUUUCAUUCAAACAUGCAGUUUUCUGUAACCGAGCAUUACAGGGGUGAUGACAACGGUCGCAUCCAAGCCCUUCCUGGUGUUUUCUUCUUCUAUGACCUUUCGCCGAUAAAGGUAAUGUUUUCAUAAGUAAAGCACCGUUACUGUUAGCAGAUUUUUGCCUGGAAAAUGAAAAUAUUUUCAUUACUUUUGUUUUUAUUCGGAUCUUUUCUUCCUCCAUUCACAAUAUAACAAGUCGCAACCAUCCUUUAGUGUGCAAUGUAAAUGCAGCCUGAUCGAUUCUUAUACUGUUUUUUGAUAUUGAUGUGAUAAGCGUAGAAAAGUUUGGGGAUACCUUUAUUGUUUCUUAGUCAUUGUAAUUUAUAUCUUAUUGCAAUACAUGGGUUUUGCAUCUAUUACAUGUUUUUUUUGUCUUACAAGUUACUAAAAAGACAGUUUAGUUCAAGCAGACCCAUCUAAUUCCUACACUAUUAUUACCCUGAUGCAUUUUUGCAGGUUACCUUCAUGGAGCAACAUGUCUCUUUCUUGCACUUCUUGACUAAUGUUUGUGCUAUUGUUGGAGGUACACUUUAUUUCACUUAUAUGACUAUUAUAAUCAUUUUACUUCUGGUGUGCUGCGUAAACUUUACGGUUAACAUAAUUUUUACAAAAUCAGCUUUGUCCUUCCAUAUUAGUUCAUUCGUAACAUCUGUUUCUGAUUAAUUGAGAUUUGAGAAUAUUGAUGAGUGUCUCCAGAACAUGAAAUUGAUUACACCUGUUAUCAAUUUAGUAUACAAAUAAUCUUUUUGAAGGAACAUCGGACUUUAUUCUAUUAAUCGUGUCCCAAUUAUAAUGCUUAAUAAGUUAUUUUGAAAGGAAAUACUAGAGUUGUCUGACAAGCAAUAUUGUUACUUAUCCUCUUUAAGAAAUGAAAAUGAAUAAUGUAUUGUUUUCAUCCCAUACUUUGUUUGACUUCACAACCAGCAAAUGACCUUCAAAUGGAUUCUUAUAUUCAGAAUAUUCUCCAAUUUGGAAAGUCGUUGCACUUUACUAUUUUUACUCAAGUUGUCCUCUUUACUUUAACCUACCUAAAUAUUCCACAACUGGCAUGUCCUCUAGAACAGAUAACUUGUGAAAGCAUUGAAAGGGGCUCUAAGAUCUAAUACUUGAAUCACUUUUAAGGGCCUAAUAUUCCAUACUAUCUGUUUUACGGGUCAUACUAUUCUUGCUCAUUGACAUUGCAAAAGGUAUAUUUUGACUAAUGCCAGUUAUAGAGCAAUGAAAUAGCAUUUCAAGCAUAUGUGGCAUACCUGCACUAAAUAGAGUCGUUGGUUGGUAUCAGGGUAUGUGAGUGUGUCCUAUUGGCAUCCUCCAAAAACAACAAUAACAGCAAGCACAAAAAAAAAAGAGGGUUCCUUAACUUUCAGAUGUCCAUCCUUCUGUAAAGUCAAGUUGUCGGAAUUUCCAGUUCUUGGGCUAUACAAACUUAUCAGGAUUGGUUUGAUGACCGACUCUAAUGUUGAUUUCUUUACCUCACCAGGUAUAUUUACUGUUUCUGGGAUAUUUGAUUCAUUUGUAUAUCAUAGCCAGAGAGCAAUCAAGAAGAAGAUGGAGAUCGGUAAAUUCAGCUGAUUGUCAAACUUGGUAACUUUUUUGUUCUUGAAAGUUAAACCACCUUUCUCGUGGGUGCUCGACCUAUCUGGUGCGACUUGAAUAUCCAAAAGUGACGUCGAGUCAGUUGGUGGGAUCGGGUUGGGUUUUGCUCUUUGUUAUAUUAUUUCGCGGCCCUGCAUCCUACAUGGAUGAAUGUCAUGUGGAUCACAAAUUCAAUCAUUUUAUAGCUGUUGUCUGUGUAAUUUAAAUUCAACAGGGGGAUAUUUGCUGUUGGAAGAGCAUUUGUGGGUGAUUAUACAUAUAGUAACAUUGAUGCAAGAUCACAGAGAACAAUGUGGAUGUUGGUAUUCGACAAGUCGGAACUUGAGUUGGUUGAAAGAUCUGUAUUGUUUUGUUAUCUUAAUUCCAGUUCCUAGAUGCAGAAGGUUAUCGAGUCUUGUACUAUUAUGUGAAUCACACAUAAGUGUUUAAAGUUUUAUUUGAGUGUUAAAUCUCUGAAAUUUCAAGAAAUGUUUUUGUUGUCUUUAAAUAUCAUGCAGUGAUUAGAUUCCAAUGAGGGCUACUCUGUUUUUCUUUUAUUUACUGUUUGCUUAUAUAACUGUUGGGAUAGAGAUUCAUGCUUCAACACAGGUGAUUAAUUAGAAUCUAACCAACUUCUAUGCAGAUAUAUGCAUGUCACAACAAUUUGCUAGAGCAAUGUACUAGCUCAAGCAGUAAAUGUGUUGGGGAUAUUUGUAUAUUUGACUUUAUUAUUCAACAGGUCUUGUGUACUAAGCCAAAAGUCUGUACCAUUCCAAAAGCAAUUCAUGCACUCAAAAACUUGCUUGUUAUCUGGGCUAAACUUCUGUUUAAUUAAAUUUCCGAUAUCUGAACUAAUGCAGUUUCUUUGAUGAAGUGGCUUUCCUCGUGUGUUUCUCCAUGCCUGUGAUAUUCUUUUUUGGUACCAAUUAGAUGAAAUUUGCUGUAUCAAUGCUUUAGCUCAUUCAAUUAUAUGCUUAGGAUUUGUUUCAGAGGAUCGUGUAAUCACAUAAUAUAGCACGCCUGAUCGGUUUCUAAUGAUGGUUAGUAUUAGCUUCUUAUGUAGAUGAGACUCGCUUUGUCAUUCUAUUUUUUUAAUCACGUAUACAUAUAUACUACCCUACUUUAAAUGCUUCUACUGUUUUGAUCUCUUACGCAGCCCAAGGAGAUAUUUCCAACUGGUAGGUAUUGCAUCUCGUCAGAUAAGAAUUCUCAAACACGUCAAUUUUAUUGAGAAAUUACUGUUUUUAACAGUGAACUCUACUGUUCUGGUUUCUUCUCUUACAGUUAAAUUUAUCUAUUUGGAUUUCAUUUUUUGGUCGGAUGUGCUUUAUAUUCUUAGGCUUUAACCUUUUACAAAGUAGCUACCAUCAUGCCCAUAACAGCAUAUAUAGAACAUUUUGGCUUUUAUGUCAUUCGAAAUUCUCCUGCGAUGUUCCUUGGCGUUCGUUAUCAUAAAAUUCCAACUAUGAAAUGGCGAAUCCUAUCACGCAAUUGUUCAGAAUCUGUCAGCGUUCUCAAAUUUCCACAUCAGCGGAGGACAGAGCCAAAAGGACAAUAGCGAAGUGCCUCAGGUAAUUUUUUAUAUUCAUGUUUCGUAACCUCGAUUUAUUUGUGGGAAUUAGAAAAUAUGGCAAAGUUCUUAGUACACAUUUUUCAGUUUAUUUCUUGUACAAAGCCUCAAUUUGGGCAGCUUUUUCUACGUUAUCGAGCCGCUUGCAUCUCGCCGCUUUCACAUGCUUGGUGGGUUACUUGUUAGUUAAAAGAAUUAUGGUGAGAAGGGAAAGAAAACAAGAGAAUGUGCAGUAUGUUUUAGUUAAUAAUGCUGAAACAAAAGACAAAGCAAAGAUCACUGGAACAAAAUAUCAUAGAGCCAUAGAGGUGGGGUUAACCAUUCCCUGUGCUCCUUGCUAUGCUUGUUCUAAAGGUAGAUCGUGUUCUGUUGUCUUCACGCUGUACAGUUUUUAUUUUGCUCGACUUCUAACCUAUCUCAAUAACCUUACAUGCUGUUCUGUCGUGUUUGGCUUUUAUAACCUUGUUUCUCAUCUGAAAUUGUCAUGUCAUAUGACUAUUGAGGAGCGUUUAGAUGCAAAUUUUCCAACUAAUACUUGUAAUUUUAGUUUUAAAUGAGAAUCCGUGCAAUUUCUACACAAUUAUUGUUCUACGAGAAGAAUAUAUGCAAUUAUUGAAUAUUGGUCCUCCUCGGAGAAAAGGAGAGGAGGAAAUUUGCGAAAGGGACGAGCGCAGAGGCAACAAAAUGGAAAGGAAGAAAAACGAAGUGUGUACGCAUUAAGUGAUACAACAAUUUCCUUUUGCCAUGUUUGUGUAGAGAUAGAUAUUUUGAUGCGCGUGGCCAUCGGAGAUUGAUUAUUACGUUGAUGAAUACUACUAUUCUACAGGUAUAUUUUGUCAAUGUGAAAAGCAUCCGAUGCGGGUUAACUUUUCCCCCCACUUUCGUUCUCAAUUGGAAUGAUUCAAAUCUCGCUGAGAUAUCUUUCAGAUUCACCACCAAUUGAAGGUAAUCUCAUCGCAGGUAGAAUUUUUCUUUUUUUUUGCCGAGCCACUGUGGGUUCGCAUCUUUUAUCUUUGUAUAACAUAUCACAAGUUGCCCAAGGGCUUUUUCUGUGAAAUAGAAAGGAAAAAAAAAAAAAUUAUUCAUCUCAGGUUAGUGGAAUAUGUAUUUAUUGUUGUGCUAAAAAAUUGAAUGAUAUAUAGAAAGAAAAGGAGUUUAAAAUAUCGUAUUUUGGUUGCUUACGGUUUUAGAGAAAAUUGGUUGUUUUACAUUUAAUGAGAAUAGGAAGUUUUGAGUUCAAAUUUUAAUUGGGGCCUCUAGUCUCAUUCAGACUCUGUCCAACUUAUUUUGAAAAUCCAGGUGUUGCAGACAAAAUCGCCCUCAUGCAUGGGGCAAUGUUGACUAAUGUAGAUAGCUACUUCCAAAUCGUGUUUUAGUAGUGUUUUAAGUCGUUAAAGAAAAAAGAAAAAAAAAAAAAAGGAAAGAAAAAAAAAAAGGGUUAGGUCCAUGAAGGAUAAAUUGCAUUGCCACUAACUUGGUAGGUGUAGUCAAGUUUCGUUUUGGUCAUUGGAAUUCAAAGUUUGUCCCUUUGAUGCGUCUCGUAGUGUUAAGAAAAAAAAAGGGAAAAGAAAAAAAGAAAAAUUGCAACAGACACACAGUGGUUUCAACUUGAUUCCUGCUGGACCAAGCAAUCCUUUUGAAAAGGAUAAAAAGUGAUAUUUUAUAGUGGGUGGAGAGAGAGAGAGAGAGAGAGAUAAGCAGAGGAAGAAUAAGAACAAAGAGAUGAGCCCUAGGGGGAGUAGGUUUGGGAACUUGUGGUGGAGGGUGUUGGCUUAAAUGCGCCAGCAUCCUGUCCUGUGCCGGAAGGUCAUGUGGGCCGAGUCAUGUUCGAAAUGGCGUGAGGCUGGGUUGGGCCGAGUCAUGUUCGAAAUGGCGUAAGGCCAGGUGGGCCGAGUCACAAUCGAGACCCAUGGGCGCUGUUUCUGUACGCUUUAAGUGAAUUGGUUGCGUAUUUCUAACAGCUCGAGCUUUUGGGAUUAAUGGUUAGCGCUAACAAUCCGACAAGUGGUAUCAGAGCCAGAGAUCACGGAUUCGAUUCCUGCAUGCUGCAAAUGUGUUCAGGUGCUGGAGGAGGAUUGUUGGCUUAAAUGGGCCAGCAUCCUGCCCUGUGGCGGGAGGCCAUGUGGGCCGAGUCAUGUUCGGAAUGACAUGAGGCUGGGUUGAGCCGAGUCAUGUUCGAAGUGGCGUGAGGUUAGGUGGGCCGAAUCACAAUCAAGAUUCAUGGGCGCUGUUUUUGUACGCUUUAAAUAACUUAAUUACGUAUUUUUAAUAGCUCGAAUUUUUGGGUUUAAUGAUUAGCGCCAGCGAUCCGACGGAGGGCAUAUCUCCAUGCCUCUCCCCUUUGCCCCUUAUCUCUGGCAAAAGGGUAUGGGGCAAUAAUAAAGAAAUGCAUAUAUGAUGAUGAAGAGGGGAUGUGUUAUGACUGAUUCCACAUGACAAUGGAAGUCCUUUUCAACAGCAUAAAAGCAAAAGGUCUUCCAGAGGCUUCUUCCCCAUCUCCCAUCCCUCCCAUCCCUCCCUCAUCUUUUUUGGUCAAGUUUAGCCCCUAUUUUAUGCUAUUAUUAUGUGAAGGGAAGGAAACAACUAGCUGUUGCUGAAACAGUCCCUUUUUGAGUAAAUCUUAAGCUUUGCUUGCCGCUCAAAACUUUUCCUUUUGUUACAUGUGUUGCUCAGCAUCAUUCAAGCAAUGGCUAGGAUUUUUGGUAUACUAAAAUGGGCAUAACUAUCUCAUUUAUAUGUGGUUAGAGAAGGUGGAUGAGGAAAUUCACGAUUCUUGUUCUUAUUGGCUGAACACCAAAAAAAAUAUCUCCUUCGAAAAAUAAUAAUAAUAAUAAUAAUAAUAAUAAUAAUGAAGAAAAGAAUUGUUAAGAUUUUAUUUCUUAUUGCCAAACAAAACAAAACAAAUCAAGGGCAUAAAAAGCUUAUUUCUCGAAGGAGAUAUUUUGCUUGAGAAAAUAAAAAGACAACACUAGUACUAAAUGAGACUCAAAAUCUUAUUAAAUUUGAGCAAACCUUUGUUUGGACAAAUGUUAACGAAUCUUAAACCCUACGCCCUGAACUGUUUGAAUAAAGAUUAAUGAUCCAUUUAGUGAAAUAUCUGUAACAUAGUGACAAUAUUUCUUUGUAAAGAAGCUAAAGGGCAAAAAAAACAUCGGUCAAAAAGCACUCAUCUUCUUGUAUACUAUGACUCUCUGUUUUUUGUUCUUCUUUUUUUGCAACACCUGAUUAUAAGGUAUGCAUUUAACUUAACAACAAUUCCAUCAAAUAUUUGAUCAUUUCAAACCCCAAAAAAGAAAUUAGCACUAAUCAUAAAGAGCUAAUGUGCAUCUCAAUCUUUGUGUUUCUUGUGCCUCUACACCAUCCAAUCUCUUCGCGAUCGAGUUCAUCAUACUCAAAACCAUGCAUACAUAAACACCAUAAAAGUACUUAAAAGCAAUAUAAUAAUUACACAGCUACACAACAAUUACAACUACACAAUAGAUUUAAAACAUCUCCUUACUCGCUGGUGAUGCUGAGGCAAAAACAUCCAGCAAAAACCAGGAGGAGGUGACCCCAAUAUAAUAAUUAAUUACAUACCAAGCCCACUAUUAAGAAAGGGGGGAAAAAAAAAAAAAAAACCUAAAAGAGGACUCUGAUUCUUCUUCUUCGACCUAAAAGAGCUCUCCGCAAACGUCUAAAACCCCAUUUGCAGAAGAAGCCCAUAACCACUAAUUAAGAACUACACCAUACUACUACACCAAAUACAAUUAUAUUCCCACAAGACGAAGAAAAAAAAAAGAAAAAAAAUAUACUAAUUUUGGGAUAAAAUGGAGUCCCAGUCGAUCUCGUAGGAGGGAUACUUGCGGAGGAAGAAGCUCUCGGACUCGUCCCAUGGCGCCUCGGUGAAGUCCAAGGUCUCCAUCUCCGACACCGGCGACGACGAGUCCUCGGCCUCCCCGUCCGACGACGACGAGCUCUCCUCCGCCGCCGCCGAGGCCGGGGCGGAGGAGCUCGGCGGAGCUGCUGCGGCGGCGGCUGCGCUCCGGCCGGUCUUGGGGGCGGGGGCGGAGGAGGAGGUGGAGGCGAGGGUUUGGCAAAUGGCCUGGAGCUUGGCGUCGACGGAGGCGAGGAGCGGGGCGGGGGAGGAGGAGGGGAGGUGGCGGUGGCGGAGGUCGGGGAAGUUGAGGCGGGCGAAGUCGCCGCGGAGGCGGAACGCGGCCUUGUCGUAGGCGAGCGCGGCCUCCUCGGCGGUGUCGAAGGUGCCGAGCCAGAGCCGCGUCCGGUUCUUCGGGAGCCGGAU
Molecule: long non-coding RNA, 50897 nt
Filed under: Ananas comosus (pineapple)
Lineage: Eukaryota; Viridiplantae; Streptophyta; Magnoliopsida; Poales; Bromeliaceae
Description: long non-coding RNA (ACOM_LNC010974)
Source: RNAcentral